Molecule: long non-coding RNA, 76145 nt
Filed under: Brassica napus (rape)
Lineage: Eukaryota; Viridiplantae; Streptophyta; Magnoliopsida; Brassicales; Brassicaceae
Description: long non-coding RNA (BNAP_LNC008737)
Source: RNAcentral
CAUACACUUUGUGAGAAGCUUGAUUUGGAUACAUAAAGUGGUGGAGAAUCAUCAGGAUGUUGAAUAAACCUCAUAGGAGUUGGGAUGAAGAAGUUAUCCCACUUUCAAAUCAGGUGAUUCCAGUUUCCCAGUUUGGGAAUAGCACAGCUUCUUCGUCCUUCCAAUCAAACCAGGAUGAAUCUCUUUGUGAGAAGCUUUAUUUCGAUACAUAAAGUGGUGGAGAAUCAUCAGGAUGUUGAAUAAACCUCAUAGGAGUUGGGAUGAAGAAGUUAUCCCACUUUCAAAUCAGGUGAUUCCAGUUUCCCAGUUUGGGAAUAGCACAGCUUCUUCGUCCUUCCAAUCAAACCAGGAUGAAUCUCUUUGUGAGAAGCUUUAUUUCGAUACAUAAAGUGUUGAGAUGAGAGCCUUAUGGUAUGAAGAGGAGACCUUAGGAAGUGUAGAAGCAUUAGAGAGGAAGAUCGAAGCAUCAUGUACGGACUGUACGGAUAGGGUGAAGGGUACGGACGAUCAGGCCGUACCAUCAUGCGCGGUUAAGGAGUUACUCAGCUCAGGUAAAGAGUAAACUAGCUAGAGUUACUUUACCUUAAGGCUGAGCUUGAUCCGAACGUUGAGAGGAUAAGGANNNNNNNNNNNNNNNNNNNNNNNNNNNNNNNNNNNNNNNNNNNNNNNNNNNNNNNNNNNNNNNNNNNNNNNNNNNNNNNNNNNNNNNNNNNNNNNNNNNNNNNNNNNNNNNNNNNNNNNNNNNNNNNNNNNNNNNNNNNNNNNNNNNNNNNNNNNNNNNNNNNNNNNNNNNNNNNNNNNNNNNNNNNNNNNNNNNNNNNNNNNNNNNNNNNNNNNNNNNNNNNNNNNNNNNNNNNNNNNNNNNNNNCCAAGCUCCUGAGAAUCCAUAAAGCUUCCGCAAAUCUGUUACAGUUCAUACUUCUCUUCAAAAAUCUCUGUUUCUGUUCAUCCUUGUAUCCUCUGGUCUAAAGCUUUUCCAGGAGGGAAGAGACUCACCAGAACUCAAGAUAAAGGAGGUCUUUAGUAUCUGAAACUCAAAGCUUCCACAAUUCAAGCAUAGGCUCAUCCUCAUUGUUAUUUCAAAUCAUUGGAGAGUUUCUGUCCAGCCAGCUGUUCAAUCUCUUCAAGAGGAAGAAGACUAAACAUGGCGUGUCCAGAGACUUCCCAAGGUCUAUCAUCCUUUCUCCUGUUCAGCCUGAAGAGAUCUCUUGGAGAAAGAAGGUUUUGGAGCUGUUUGGCAAGCAAUGCUCCAAACCAAGUCUGUACAAGUGAUUUUCAAGUUCUUCCCAAAAUGGAGUCUCUCACUGUGUGCCAGAAGGUGGCGCCUGGUAAUCAGGAAGAAAAGAGGGGUCUUAAGCAUGAGUGGUCUAAAGGGAAGGCACACACAAGGAAAUGGCGUGGGGUAGAGAUCCCAAACUCCAAAUCUGUCAAGUUCAAGUGAACAGUGUGCCUUGGAGGUUCAAGGAACCAGCUCAGGUUCCUUGUUUGUAAGUUAACCUCCUACCUUUAAUAAGAGCUUGAGUAGUUAUGUCUGGUUGUGUUGAGUGGUGUGUUUGGUAUCCUUGGGACAGGUUCAAGUUGCUAGAGUUGUUGAACCUAGUUUAUGUCCCAUGAUACUUAAAUUGUGUGUGUUGCUCUGUUUCUUAAAUUAUUUCUAGGAGUUGUCUAGCAUGGUAUUGUCUAGUUCCUGUCCUAGAUUAAUUGUUUCUGUUUGUAUUGUGCUAGGCGAUUGGUUUAGCUACUGUCAUUGUCUUGUUGCAUUGAUAAAGGUCUAGGAGUGCCUCCUGAUCUUGUAUUGCAUUAUAUAUAUUGUUCAAGAUGAUUAGAUGAGUUGUUUAGUCUCUGUUUAUUGUCUUUAAAAUUCAUAAAAAGAGCCUAAUUGUCUUGUUAUUGAUGGGUUUUCAUACCUGAGCAGUUAGUGAUGUUAGUAUGCAUGGAGUUGAACUGAAUGAGUUGUUUAGAUUCUGUUCAUUGCAUAUUUCUUUUUAAAACAUUGGGAUCAGACUUGGUGAAUUAUCAAGGGCUGAUCCUAGUGUGUGUGGUCUGAUUCUUGCUGGAGUUUGAGUGAUGUUUCAGGUACACAAGAGGUGAUCUCUGUCCAUCAUCAAACUAAGACAAAGAAGAAGGCAUUGCCCACGUUUUUCAGAGCCUCCCAAGAUGGAUAUUCCUGAACCGUGGAGAUUGCCCAGUCCCAAAUCCUAUCUAUGUGUCUGCCCAUUUCCUACCCUGAAGAUAGAAAGGAUAUUGGAGAAUUGGAAAAACUGCUCAGAAGUGACUUACCUGAUGCCAAGAGGAUGUACAGGAGGUGCACUCAAGAGAAAAGGCCAUCACUAAGCCAAGAGUGGCCGGUGGUCAGAGGCAUGGUUCAAGGUGUUUAGUCCUGACCAUGUAAGAUACCUUGUGAGUAGAACCAGUUGGCUUAAGCGCAGGCGUAGGAGCUGUUGUGCUCCUGGUUCAAGAGACUCAUAAGGAAGGUCAUCACCUAAGUCAUGGGGAGACUGGUGGCCCAAAGACAUUAGAGCUGAAGGAAGAUAGUGAACUGGUUGGCUUAAGCGCAGAUGUUGGUAUUGUUGUGCUCCCAGUUUCAAAACUCAUUGAAGCUCACAUUCAAGCUUGUCCCUAUACUCAGCCAAGCUUGAGGAGGGGAAUCAGUGAGCUACCAGAAUAUCCAUGAAGCUCCUAGUGUCUCUUUUCCUCAAAGAAGGCCAGCAACAUCUAUGUGUCAAAAUAGAUGAUCAAGAAGAAGAGGUUGCAUGGCGAUUUAAUAAGGAGGGGCCUAAGUGAUCAGUCUGAAGAAGCUGGCACACCCCACCACUCUGACCAGCUAUAUUCAAGGACUCAAGGAGUAUUCAAUCAGGGACAUUCUUGGCUAAGCAAUCACAUGAUGGUGGCAAAUUAUGGAGUUGCAAAGUGCUGAGCUUCCCUACAUGCUGAAACUUCAAGAGAAAAAUGCAAAGGCUGGUUGAGAGAAGGAAUGGCGUGGAGGAUUCAAGUGCUUAGCAAUCCUCACCAACAUUCAACAAACUGAUGCAAGGGAAGUACCUAAAACCAUUAUUAUUCUUAUGUGUGAAUAGGUUUGCCCCUUGAGAAUUGAUACAUGCAUUUUUUGUAUGAUUGAAUCAGGUACCUAUUGAGCUCAUGAACAAAGACAAGCUUUGUCUCAACCCCUAAAUGGAGGCAAGAAGCCAAAAGAAAGGGGGAGACAAGCUCAGGUCAUAAGAAGAAGCUCAAAGGUGAUUUGUCAGUGAAGCAACUGGCGCCAAUCCAAGUCGUUCAUUGCCUCACCUCUGAUCAAAAUUGGAGUUUGCAAGUGGUGGAUUCACUCUUGCAUUACUCAGUACCAACCGGGUCAAAGAAGCUCAGUUCCAAGUGUGUGAUUGAGCUUCCAUAAUCCGGACUGUGUCUUACCAAGUGUGGAUUCAAUUGGAGUCCACUCCUCACCAUUCUUAUGAAAGGGAAGCACCUUAAACUCAUCUCAAUACAUUCAUGAUUGUCCUUAUACUUUAUAUUAUUGAGUUUGAUGUGAUGAGUGCAUUUCCUUAAGAACUGAUGCAAAUUUAGAAUGAUGUAUCAGGUACCAAAAUAAGCUUGAGCCUCACUGAAGAUGAUGAUGAUGAUCCGGUCGUGUUAAUUCCUCUCUCCCUUCAAAAGGAUUUGUCCUCGAAUCCGAGACUUGUAAGAUGAUAGAAACAUGAUCAUCUCCUGGAUCAAAUACCCACGACUGCAAUCCUUUUCCAUGCUUCAGCGAGCUCUUGGAACUUUGCUCAAUCAUCUCUAAGCCCCUCACGUGCCUUAGUAUGUAGCAAACAAAACUUUCCUUUCCAUUUAACUCAUAACCAGCUGCUUCUGCAAAAGCUUCUCUCCAUUUACUCCAUAAGCACGCCUCAACCAUGGCUGUCUCAGCAUGUGUUCUAUGCUCUCCCGGAUAGAAUGAGAGCAUUAGAUCUCUAAAAACAAGCAGAAACCUUGCUGAUUGAUCUGGUGGCCGAACUAGCUCCUUGUGGCUGCCUAGGAGAAUAUCUAUGAUUUCUCUCAAUACACCUUGCCCAAUGCUCAUUAUAACUUGGUUCUCAUGCUGCAUAGGGUCUGGUGGUCGUGUGUAAUGAUCCCCAUAUUCAUUCUCAAGCUUUGGCAUCUUUUUAACCACAACAAGUUUCUGUUUUGUUGAUCUCAGCUGGUUCUGAUCAGUUAUGGGACUGAUCAAGGGCGUGUUACCUCCGGUUUCUCCUCUAUUUUUACUGCAGAUACUCAAGAUCACACCAUCCUCUCUCCCUUCAAAAAGAUUUGACCUCAAAUCUUGUUUUUCAGGAGUGAAGAAACCUUGCAGAUCAAGCUUGUAUGUAACUGUUUUCUGCACCAGAUUGUUGUUACUUCUUAUACUAACACUGAAGCUUCCUCCUGGUUCAAAAACAACUUGCUGCAGGCCCUUAACAACUCUCAGAUGUUCCACUAAGCUGAGCUGAAGACAUACCAAAGGUCUGAUUAGUAACUCACAAGCUAAAGACUUAAAAUUAUCAUCUUGCUCAACAGUAGGAAGCACCAAUUCAAGAGCUUUAGAUGACCCUCCAGGAACUUUUUCUUCUUGUUUUAUUUGAUCAGGCACGUGGCCACACUCAGCUUCUGCAACUUCUGCCUCCUCCUCGAGUUUUAAACCAAGAGUUGUUGGUUCUAGUUCAGUUUUAUGACUCUCCUCAAUCUGUUUUAUUGGAGAAGCUAAUAUAGAAGCUUGCAGCUUUUCCUCCUCUUGUUUCAAUGAUAGAACAGGAACCACAAAUCUUCUCUCAGCCGAUUUUAAUGUCAAUUCAGACCAAUAGGCAGGCUGAUCUAAAGUAGUAAGCUUCGUUGCUGCUUCUAGUUUUAGUUUUGGAAGUUUCCACUGCGAGACAAACCUCUUCUUCAUCAAGGUCUUCAUCUCCACCCAUGAAAUAAUUUGUGGUUUUUUUCAAAUCUCCUAGUCUGAGAAACUCUCUGCCACCAUGAGAAUGCACUUCCACAGAGUCCAUUGACUGCUAGACAUACCUUUUUCUUUUCAGUGUAGUAUUGGAGUCCAAAGAGAAACUCCAUCUUCUUUUCCCAAUCAAGGUAUGCCUCUGUAUCAAUCUUUCCAUAGAAGAAUGGAAUUGUAAGCUCUUGUUCAUAUCCAGACAUAGAAUACAGCUUGUUCACUGAUAGAUUUCGUGCUCCCUUGUUAAAACUUCAAACCCUAACCCUCAAGAGGCUCUGAUACCACUUGGUGCGGCCCUGGAUAGGCUGUCUAGUCCCUGAAUCACUUGAAGGGGCGUGGGUGAAAGGAUCAAGAGAUUGUAGGUCUCUUGGAUGGCGGAUGGACUUCACCUUCGAGCUAUGGAUUGCUCAGAGGUUGUUUAUGCUACUCCUGAGACACAGGGGCGUCCUGCUUGAUGUCUAGGAUGGAUCACAGAAGAUUAACUCUCCCUUAGUGUGAUAUAAACGUUCACCACUUGUGAACAAAGGAGACAGUGUCGUCUCAAGACUGGUUUGCACCAAAAAGAAGUUUAUUGAUAAAAAGAAUGAUUGAAAGUUACAUGAACGUGGUGCUGCUGUUUAAAAGCAUAAACAGUGUCGUCUCAAGACUGGUUUGCACCAAAAAGAAGUUUAUUCAUAAAAAGAAUGAUUCAAAGUUACAUGGACGUGGUGCUGCUGUUUAAAAGCAUAAAACAUAAAACCCUAAGCCUAAACCAAUGUGGUUUAGGAAAACCAAAACCAAAUCCUAUUGCUAAUUGAUUUAAAACACCAAACCGACUCCUAAUGGGUUUAUAAAGCCCAAAACCUCUUCCUAAUGAGUUUACAUAAAUAAUAAAACCAAAUACACUUAAAAUAGACCAUAAUGGUCGUGCAUAAUCAUAUUGGGCCAAUCAUAAACCAAGCUGGCUUGUCCUUCCACUUUUUGAGCCGAUAAAGGCCUUUUUCGAACAACUCUUUCUUGGGCUCGAUCCAUCUUGUUCCAGGUCCGACCAAGCUGCUCCUUAUGCUCAUUUGGAUGAUAAAGGUCCUCAUCAUGUUCCAGUUCCUGCUCUGGUUCUCAAUCUUCCAUUUCCAACUCAAUUCUCGCAUAUGUCGGUUUGACCAGUCCAUUUCUCGAUCAGACUGAAUCUCCCAUUCCAUUUCCUGUCUAACCAGCUUCAUCCUAUCCAUUUCCUUGUCAAUCAGGGUUGUCACAGGUCGUCCAUGAUUGUUUAAAGUCAGUCCAUGCUUUAUAAAGGCCACAUCAAGGCCCAUAGCCUUUUCUCGGUCCAGUACCUCAUGGAUCAAGCCUUUUAGCUUUCCAUAAAGCUCAUCAGGUCGUGUCAAGAUCCAUUUCCUAGCUCCUUCUCUCCUUGACUUCAUGUUCUUUAGUACGGAGCUGAUCAGGGUCACACCAUCCUCUCUCCCUUCAAAAGGAUUUGUCCUCAAAUCCGAGACUUGUAAGAUGAUAGAAACAUGAUCAUCUCCUGGAUCAAAUACCCAGGACUGCAAUCCUUUUCCACGCUUCAGAGAGCUCUUGGAACCUUGCUCAAUCAUCUCUAAGCCCUUCACGUGCCUUAGUAUGUAGCAAACAAAACUUUCCUUUCCAUUUAACUCAUAACAAGCUGCUGCUGCAAAAGAUUUUCUCCAUUUACUCCAUAAGCACGCCUCAACCAUGGCUGUCUCAGCAUGUGUUCUAUGCUCUCCCGGAUAGAAUGAGAGCAUUAGAUCUCUAAAAACAAGCAGAAACCUUGCUGAUUGAUCUGGUGGCCGAACUAGCUCCUUGUGGCUGCCUAGGAGAAUAUCUAUGAUUUCUCUCAAUACACCUUGCCCAAUGCUCAUUAUAACUUGGUUCUCAUGCUGCAUAGGGUCUGGUGGUCGUGUGUAAUGAUCCCCAUAUUCAUUCUCAAGCUUUGGCAUCUUUUUAACCACAGCAAGUUUCUGUUUUGUUGAUCUCAGCUGGUUCUGAUUAGUUAUGGGACUAAUCAAGGGCGUGUUACCUCUUAUUUCUCCUCUAUUUUUACUGCAGAUACUCAAGAUCACAUCAUUUAUUCAACUUCCUGGUGAAUCUGCACAACUUUAUGUAUCCAAAUGAAUACUCAAGAUCACACCAUCCUCUCUCCCUUCAAAAAGAUUUGACCUCAAAUCUUGUUUUUCAGGAGUGAAGAAACCUUGCAGAUCAAGCUUGUAUGUAACUGUUUUCUGCAUCAGAUUGUUGUUACUUCUUAUACUAACACUGAAGCUUCCUCCUGGUUCAAAAACAAAGUGUUGCAGACCCUUGAAAAACCUCAGAUGCUCCACAAGAUUGAACUGAACACAUACAAAAGGCUGGAUCAGUAAAUCACAAGAAAAAGAUCUAAUGAAUCCACCUUGUUCAAUCAAAGUCUCAAGUAACUCUUUAUGAACUACAAGCGCCUCAUCAAGUUCUUCUUCUUCUUUAACCUUGUUUUGGUCGUGAAUAAGACCACACAAAGCUCCUGGUACGUGCUCCUCUAGCUGUAGUUGAAUGGCUGAAUGUUCUCCUUGAAAAGGAAUGGCCAAUGCUGGUUCAAUCUCUGGUAUCUUCACAGCCGGUUUUGCUGCAAUCUUUUCUUUCUCCUCAACUGGUGCCUUCUGAUAACAAGUUAGCUCAUCAUCUCCUGAUGGUGGACGUGGGACUGGCCUCUGUUGUGGUUUUUUUUUAGUCACAGCAGUGAGUGAUUCAGCUAUCAUGUUCCUUAGGUUUUCUUUGAACUGUGUGCUCUGCAUAUUGUCAAGAUAAUCAAGAUGUGUUUGCAGUAGCUGCGGCUUUCGUUGUGCCUCACGAUCAUAGCAGUUCUGUGGCUCUUCUCUGGAUAACCUAACACGUGCUUGAGAUGAUCUAGAUUGGAUUGGCAACCGUUCCAGAUCAGUUUGACCAUACCUCUUUGCUACAAACCUUUUCUUCAUGACAGACUUCAUCUCAUACCAAGAAGAAAUCUGCAACUCUCCACAGCGUUUCCUGUUGUUAGCAAUCUGAUACCACCAGUCAAACGCAUACCCUCUUAAACCAGUAGUUGCUAGAUGUAACUUCUUCUCCUCAGUGUGGUUGUGGAAGUUAAAAAGGAAAUCCACAUCCUUUUCCCAUUCUGGAUAUGUGUCUGGAUCAAACUCUCCAUAGAACAGUGGAAUUUUGAUCUCUUUUCUUUUUCCUUGCAACAGCUUCCUUGUUGCUGGUUGUUCAGCCUUCUCAUCAUGUUUUCUAUAAGAAUACAUAGAAGAUUGCUGGAUAUAUGAUGAAACACGUGGUCCUUGGUUAAGAUAAUCAAACCCUAAACCUUCAAGAGGCUCUGAUACCACUUGGUGUAGCCUGGAUAGGACUGUAACUCCCUGGAUCUCUUGUAGGUGGGUAAAUGCUUUGAUAAUCCUUGCAAACAGAGAAUCAAAGACUCGAUCUGUAUCAAGGCGUGUGGGUAGAUGAUAGAUGAUGAUGAUGGACUUUGCUAAAGAGCUAUGGAUUGCUCAGAAGCUGUUUUGCUACUCAAAGACACAAGAUCACCUUGUAUUGUCUAAGAUGAGAUUCACAAAGAAUUCCUUCCUUUAAGUGAGAUCAAUGUUCCUUAAGCUGAACAGAGAAAGCAAGAGAUAAAGCAAGCAAAGCUGCUGGAAAAUUCUUAGAUUCAAAAGUUUACAAACAAAAGCGGCGUUCCCUUGUUUCUUAAAGAAAUCGACAGAAAACCCUAGAAGUAAACCAAGAUGGUUUAAUUCUAAUUCUAAUUCUAAUUCUAAUCCUAAACCCACGAAAUUGGUUUAUUUAAAAUCCUAAUUGUCUUUGGUUUAAAUUAAAUGAAAGCCCAAUAACCAAAGCCCUUACAAAGUAAUUAAAUUAAACCAACAAGCUGGUUCUUCUUUGGUUUAUGAUGGGCCACGACUUGAACUUGAUUUGGAGUGUCUCCUAAUGAGCUUUAGAUCCUCCACGUCCUGUUAGGCCAGCUAGAAAGCAAGUGGAUCAAGAUUCUGGCUGCAACUCUCUUUUUGGACCGAAAAAGCCUUAUUUCGCCUAGAUCCAAAUAUAGCCCAACCCAGAAACUUCCUGACAUGUUUUCCUUGUUCUCCAUACAUAUUUGGACGAGGUGAAUGGUCUCCAUAGCUCCUGUUAAGCUCAGUUGGUUGAAUCCUCUUUGUUCAAGUCGUUUCAAGGCAGUACCAACAGUUCUUCUCUUCUCUCUAUCCAGAACGUCAUAGAUCAUGCCAAUAAGAGUAUGAUACUGUCCAUUAAACUGCACCAUGAUCAGUGGUAUAGCUGACCCAUACAUUGGCUUCAAUCCAUUGAUUCCAAUCCUGAUCAGGAUCACACCAUCCCCUCCUCCUUUAAAAGGAUUUGUCCUCAAAUCCAAGCUCUGUAGGAUGAUAGAACCUUGAUAAUUUAACUCCAAAGUUCCUGACCUGGCCAUGAGAUAUAUCAUCACCUCUCUAGUCUCUCCAGGAUGAAACACAAAGCUCUGCAGUCCUUCUUCAUGUCUCAGCAACAUCUUGGAACUUUCCUCACUGCAUAUGACUUCUAAGGCAGAUGAUUUCUCCACUUUGUUGAGUUUGCUGUUAAAUGCUUCUCUCCAGGAUGAUCCUACCCACGUCCUUCUCAUGAACAUGAGACCAUGUACUCUCAGUUUAACAUCCUUCUGGUCAGGUGGUCGUGUGGUUUGGUCCCCAUACUCAUCCUCCAGUUCUGGCUUUUCUUUAACCACCACCAGUUCCUGUUUAUCUCUUCUCAGCUUGUUCUGGUCAGUUAUGAACCUGAUAAAGGACGUGUUACCUCCUGACUCUCCUUCAUUAUCUCUGCAAAUAGUUUUUAUCAUACCAUUCUCUCUCCCUUUAAAAAGAUUUGACCACAAAUCUUGUUUUUCAAGAGUGAAAGAACCUUGGAAAUUGAGCUUGUAUGCUGUUGCUUUCUGAUCCAAAAUUUGUUUAUUUCUUCUAACCACACACAAGCUUCCUCCUGGUUCAAAAACAACUUGUUGCAGGCCCUUAACAACUCUCAGAUGUUCCACUAAGCUGAGCUGAAGACAUACCAAAGGUCUGAUUAGUAACUCACAAGCUAAAGACUUAAAGUUAUCACCUUGCUCAACAGUAGGAAGCACCAAUUCAAGAGCUUUAGAUGACCCUCCAGGAACUUUUUCUUCUUGUUUUAUUUGAUCAGGCACGUGGCCACACUCAGCUUCUGCAACUUCUGCCUCCUCCUCUAGUUUUAAACAAAGAGUUGUUGGUUCUGGUUCAGUUUUAUGACUCUCCUCAAUCUGUUUUAUUGGAGAAGCUAAUAUAGAAGCUUGCAGCUUUUCCUCCUCUUGUUUCAAUGAUAGAACAGGAACCACAGAUCUUCUCUCAGCCGGUUUUAAUGGCAAUUCAGACCAAUAGGCAGGCUGAUCUAAAGUAGUAAGCUUUGUUGCUGCUUCUGGUUUUAGUUUUGGAAGUUUCCACUGCGAGACAAACCUCUUCUUCAUCAAGGUCUUCAUCUCCACCCAUGAAAUAAUUUGUGGUUUUUUUUCAAAUCUCCUAGUCUGAGAAACCCUCUGCCACCAUGAGAAUGCACUUCCACAGAGUCCAUUGACUGCUAGACAUACCUUUUUCUUUUCAGUGUAGUAUAGGAGUCCAAAGAGAAACUCCAUCUUCUUUUCCCAAUCAAGGUAUGCCUCUGUAUCAAUCUUCCCAUAGAAGAAUGGAAUUGUAAGCUCUUCUUCAUAUCCAGACAUAGAAUACAGUUUGUUAACUGAUAGAUUUCGUGCUCCCUUGUUAAAGCUUCAAACCCUAACCCUCAAGAGGCUCUGAUACCACUUGGUGCAGCCCUGGAAUGGCUGUCUCUCCCUGGAUCACUUGAAGGGGCGUGGGUGGAUGAAAGGUGAUGGAUAUGGUCUUCUCCUUAGAACUAUGGGAUGCUAUAAAGAUGUUUUUUUCUGCUCCACAGACACAGGAUCACCCUGCUUAGUGUCUAGGAUGGAUCACGGAGAUAAUCCUUGCAAACAGAGAAUCAAAGACUCGAUCUGUAUCAAGGUUUGUGGAUUGAUGUGGGACACAAGAGAGAUGGCUCGCCUCCUGAUACUCCAAGGCUUCUGAUCUGGAUAUGACACACCAAAUCAGAGAACCCAAGCUGGAUAUUACACACCAGCUGAAUUAGGGAGGGAAAUGAAACAAAAGACUUCAUCUGUUUUGUGCUUUAAAAACAGUUUUAAAAGAUGAAGUUCUUGCUGGUUUUGUCUCAAACAUAAUCAUCCUUUUCUACCCUUUGUCUCUUAAUAUUUUCAAACUUGGUAAAAGACUUUAUGUCUAAUGAAACCAAUGCUUGAGGGAGGGAGAAAGAUUGAUGAUGAUUUGAAGAAAAUUGAUUUGUAAGAGCAUUUGAAUUUCAGAUUUAAAGAAAUGCUCUUUGAAAGGAUUUAAAAAAAAAAAAAAAAAUCUUAAAAUGUUUUGAACAGAUUCUUGAGUAAUCUGAUUUCGAAAAUGCUUUAAAAAUGUGUUAACUGGUGGGAUGUUCAUGCCUCACCAGCAUUGUGAUCAGCCAUGAAGCUUGAAGGCCAUGGACUGCAAUCUGCUUCCGCAAAACUCUCAUUCUCCACCAUACUCUUACUCUCCAUUAUUCUCUAAUAUUCUCUCAUACUUCUGUUACUUAUUCUCAAAUACUCUGGUUACUUAUUCUCUGGUACUUUAUUCUCUCCAUCACUCACUAAUUUUGUGCUUUGAAUCUGUCCAUACUCAACAGGUUCUAAUUUUAAGAAUGGUGAUUGGUGUUUGUGCUUGGUUGUCUCAAGAAGACAAUGCAAGUUCGGUUGAUCUAGAGCAGCAUCAGAAGCAAGCUUUGGGGGUUAGAACCAAUGGCCUCAGAUUCAUGGACCCAAGACAAGAAGAUCUUGAGGAGAAGUGGCUGUAGGAAAGUGAUGAAUCAACUCACCAGCAAGAUGUUAGCUAAGGGUCAGUAGGCUUCAUGUGAAGCAUCAAGAAGAAAGAGGUGUUGCACAAGUUCAAAUCAUGGCGUCAACACCCUAAGCAAUCAGUUCAGAUCAUGGCUCAAGCCAUGAGUCCUUUUGGCGGUUCAAAGACAAGUUCAAGCCGCAUUCAGAUCAUAGAUCAAAGAAGCUUCAAGCUCACUUCAAAUAAAGCCAAGGUCAUAGCUAUCCAUUGCACCGUGAAGGCUAUACUCUUUUUGUCCUCAUCAUGGUUUUAUCCCAAGUGGUUUUACAUGGUGAGGUUUUUAAUGAGGUAGUCAUUUGCGUGUUGCAAGCUUGGCCUUUGGAACCAAUGGCUUCCAAAGCCCAACCUUGAGGGAGGGUAUUAAAGUGAAGCAAGACAAGGAGAUGUGAAGGCCAAACAAAGGAAGUGAAGGCCAAGCAUCUCCACAUCAAACUAAAGAAGAAGAAGCUAUCCUAGCCAUGAACAAGCCUCAAGAGAGUGAUCACACGGCCAAGACAAUGAAAAGAUGAUCAAGGCGUGUGUGCAAGAAGAGAAGGAGGCUGUAGAGUCAUGAAGUGUGUUGCAAGUAUUCAAGACUUGUGCAUCAAGGAAAGGAGCCAACAAAUGAAACAAGAGAAGAAGAGGUACUUGAACAGAGUCUGGUACAUACAACCUUGCUGUACAAGGCAGUCCGUACAGUCUUGGCUUCCAAGUAACCAAGCUUAACCUAGAGUGACUUGGAAGGCAAGGAAAGUAGUGAGCUCGUCCAGCUUGAUAUUCUGAAGCAGAUUUGAAGUUUAAACAAGCUUAUGACCGUUGGAGAGUCAAGGGAAAAGAUCUGGUUUGAAUUGAAGCAAGGAAAGUCACAUGUGGUGCUUUGGAGAAGCAACUGGCCUGUCACUUUCACUUAAGCAAGCUGUGCCAACCUCUCUCCUGUCCCUUUCUCCUCAUCUGGUCGUGCCUCUUCCUGUUCUCAUCCUCCUUGGCUGCUUCCUAAUAGCUUUGUUUAUUCAUUUCCUAGGAUAGUAUUAGUUUAAUCUCUCCUUUGUCUUGUUGCUGCUGCUGUAAAACCUAAGGCUCUCCUCUAUAAAUAAAGAGGCAGCCUCAUUGUAAUGAACACACAAGAAAUAAGAGACAAGCUUAUAUAAAAUUCGUGUAUCACUCAUCUCUUUACUAAGUGUUCUUCAAAUUCUUCACAAUGUAGAGAGUUAAGUGCUACACGAUUUUGGGACUGCCUAAGGGCAGAUCCUUGCUUGCCCAUUCACUCUAAAAUUAACUCUAAACUCUUCUUUUAUUUAUCUUAAACUCUAGCUUACUGAUUCUAAUUCCUAUUCUCCUUAAGUGAACAAACUGAAAGUGUUGUGUCACUUCUCAAGGAAUAGAUUCAAACUAGAGUCUUUAAUCUGUUCUUAGUUUAAUUCUAAUUAUUGUAUCAAUCUCACAGCCACUUAAUCUCUCUAGAUUCAGAUGGUUGUGUAGAUUAUUUUGCUGAGAGGAUUCAAUCACAAGUUGAUUGUCUCUUCCAUUCUUAAAGAGUGAGUUCAUGUUCUUAGCUAUUCAUAGCUUUUCCAACAGUAAACCUUAUAAAAGGAGAUGUAAUUGGCGAUUUCAAGCCUUAAGGGAGUUUGGGGGAUUUCCCCUCUCCACUUCAUAAUGAAAUGUGUUCUUGAAUCAGAUUCCCUUUAAUCUCUCCCUUUCUUAUACUCUUAAUCUCUCAAAGUCUCUUGUUUCUGAUUUAAGUAAACACAUAAACACUCUUAUAAACUCUCUCUCUAAAAUCACCUAAAACAAACUCAAAUCUUCUCAGCUUGCUCCAUUGGAGCUUAUACACACACACAACCUGAGAUCUCUGAAAAUCUCAUAUGGUAUCAGAGCCAGGUUCAUCUGAAUCUGGUUGAAGCUUCCGCAAACCUCAGAGCUCACUACCAUGUCCAUUUCAACCAAGAAGAAGCUGUCUGUUCUAUCCGGCUGUUCAACACCUCAAGAGGCAGGCGUGUUCAUCCUGGAGUCCAGAAGCUGUCUGCUGCUGUUCCUCAUCAUCCCAUGUCGCCCUUGAAGAAAGAAGAUCCAAGGAAACAAAGGCAAUGGAGCGGAUUAGCUACCCUCUCUAACAAAGCCAGUUCCGGGUUCUUGCUAUUCAAAGUCCAAGAAGAAGUUUCUCAAGAAGAAAGCUUGCUGCUUGUACUGGUGUGGCGUAUACAACAUGGAGAAAGGUGGGAGCUAAGACAUGGUGGUUCAAAAGGAAAGGUCCAUGGAAGAUGGAGGCGUUGGAGUGCACACUAACAACUCAGAAUCUGUCCAAUGGAAUCAAGGAUCUAUACAAAGGUCCUUGGCUGUAAGAAAGUUCUUUCCUUUGUAUAAAGCUGGAGUAUAUUGACAGGUUGUGUUGUGAUUGAAAACUUGUGGAUGUUUAAAGAUUGCUAGAUAUGAAAUGUUUAGAAUCUGUCCCAAGAUACUAGAGAGUUGUGAAUGGUGAUUGAGAGUUGAAAAGCUUGCCUCGGUUCUAUAAUGAUUGUAUAGGAUGCUAGAUGAGUCUGAUCCUGUUUACUUUCAUUGAUUGAAACCGAGUAGUAUAAUAAAGCUUAGAGUGUUGUUGCUGCCUUAGGUUGAUGCACUUGGAUUCAAGUCUAAGAUGCAGUUAAGGCAGAAGUUAAAAUUGCCUAAGUGUCUUGUAAUGAAUCUGUAGGAUCAUACUAGAACUUAGAGAGCUAAGCUUGCAAUGAUUUGAAACUUGGGUGUCUUGUUUGAUCUUGCAUUGCUUUAGUGAGACAUUGGUGUUCAAGCUUGAUGUGGAAUCAAGGACUGACCCAAUGCACCUAUGUCUAAUCUUCUCUGGAGUUUGAGUGGUGUUUCAGGUAUACAAGAAGUGUUCGUAGUUCAUCACCAAUCCAAGAGAAAGAGGAAGGCAUUGCCCAUUGUCAUGAGCAAUGGAGAGCGGUUACUGAAGUGGUGAUGUGCCACUGGUUAGUGAAGACUCACGGCUGCUCACUUCCAAGCUUGGACCCUCAUUCUAUCCAAGCUUGAGGAGGGGAGUUAAGUGAGCAAAGAAGGAAGACCAUGGCAAGCAACUGAUGGAAAAGGAGUCAUCCGGCUGUGGGAAGAACAAGGGAGUGUUCAGAGCACUCUCGGCUGUGUGAAGAUGAUGGAGCUACUCUAUCAAGGCGGCUUCCAGUGUGAGCAGUCUGAAGAGGGAGCUGAAGGUUCCACAAGCAUUCCAUGGAGAUGGCGAGUUCAGAAGGUGCUGCAAGGGUCUGAUGGUGUGAUCAUGAAGCUGCUCUCCCAAGCUUGACUUGUUCCACAUGGUCAAGCUUGAGGGGGAGUGUUGAGAAGACUUCAAAUGAUCACAAAGGUGCCGGUUCAAGAAGGUGGACGGCAGUGAGCAAAUGUAGAGAAUCAAGAAGCUCUCCUUCCAAGCUUGACUUGUUCCACAUGGUCAAGCUUGAGGGGGAGUGUUGAGAAGGCUUCUUGAUGAGAGCACUUGGCGGUUAUUCAAGAAGAGGAGCAUACCGGUUUGUGAAGCAAGAUGGAGGAUGGUGAAGCAAUCUCCAAGGCGGCCAGAGCAGAGCAGCCUUGGUACUACAGACUGAGGCAUCCGAUCAUGAAGCUUUAGAACAAGGUGGAAACUCUAGAAGAAGAAGCAGCCAAGGCUCAGCUAUUACAAGAUGAAGAGUGAUGAGCAAGAGAAGAUGUGAUCUACCUUGCAUCACAAGAAGGGGCCGAGAUCCAGAGUCUUUGUGUCCCUUACAUUGUUGGUAAGGCACAAAGACUCACUGGCCAAUCCCUAGGCCUUGGAGGCUUUACUCUUUUUCCCUCAUCAAGGUUUUGUCCCAAAGGGUUUUCCUUGGUGAGGUUUUUAAUGAGGAAGUUCUUCAAGGUUCCAAGCUUGACUUAGGAUCAGCUAAAGUCAAGCUUGAGGGGGAGUGUUGACUUGAAGAAAAGAAAUGGAGUGGUGAAGGGUUGAGUUGAGAUUGAGUCUUGAGCAAGAAUAGGGCAAGACCUCCGGAGAUUAUCUAUGAAGACUUUAGGAGUGUUUGAAGGUGUCCAGAAGUGCUCAUAUGGCUGUGCAAAGAUAGGGCCAAGUCCAGGAGGGACUUAGAAGAGUGUUUGGGAGCAAAUGGGCAAGUGUGCAUACUUAGGGCGAGACAGUACGGAUGGUACGGACCUGUACGGAUCCGUACGGACCGAGACAACCCGAGGAAACACAACUUGGCCAUUUGAGAUGUUUUGAGGUGGUGCAAAGUCCGGGACAAGAUGUGCAAGCUUAGGGCAUGAUCAGAACAUGUCCGGGAGACUUUGUGCAUACUUAGGGCUGAUAAAAAGAAGUCUGGUCGUGAAGCAUCAAAAGGGAAUCAAGAAGAUCCUUUGUGGAGGCAAGCGGCCAAUGAGAGCAAAGAUGGAGCUGAUUGGUUACUUUGGAGGAUGGACAGGCUGGCUUUGGCUGUAAAGCAAAGGGAGCCACGACCAUGAACAUGGUCUGAAUGAAGGCUUGAUACAUGGGAGCCUAUAAGGAGCCAAUGGGAGAACAGCCUUCCCUUUGACCAGUUUGAAUAAACCAAUCAGACAUCAACUAGCUCUCCUCCAAUCAAGACAUCUCACACAGAUUGCAAUCUCAACUCUCCAUCCUGGCCAUCCAUUUAUAUUCAGUCAUUUCUAUCCAUUAGAUUUAGGUUUAUGAGAAUGCAAAGUUGUAAACCUUAUAAAAGGAGAUGUAAUUGGCGAUUUCAAGCCUUAAGGGAGUUUGGGGGAUUUCCCCUCUCCACUUCAUAAUGAAAUGUGUUCUUGAAUCAGAUUCCCUUUAAUCUCUCCCUUUCUUAUACUCUUAAUCUCUCAAAGUCUCUUGUUUCUGAUUUAAGUAAACACAUAAACACUCUUAUAAACUCUCUCUCUAAAAUCACCUAAAACAAACUCAAAUCUUCUCAGCUUGCUCCAUUGGAGCUUAUACACACACACAACCUGAGAUCUCUGAAAAUCUCAUACAGAUCACUUCCUUCUACAUUACAGAACCAAUCAGCAACAAUGCCUAUCAAAGAGUCUUGCAAGGUAAAACAGAUUUGAGGACAAAUCUUUUUCAAGAGGGAGGGAAUGAUAUGAUUCUGGACCAGCUUACCAAUGAAGAAAAUGUGAUCAUGGACCAGCUUGUAGAUGAAGAUGCCCUAGCCAUUCCUGAAGGUCCCAACACUUGUUCCAGAUCAAAGAAACUCAAUGAAGCUGAUGGAGGAAUACUCAAGAUGUCAAGGAAGCAAGAAGAUUGUCUUGGUUGCAGCUUGAUCAACCAAGACACACUCACCACAACUCAAGCUACUCCACCUUCAAGCUGAUCAUCAUCUAGGCAAGUAGCUUGUGUGUGCUCUUUUCCUAACCUUUGGUUUUGUCCCACUGGGUUUUCCAAAGGAAGGUUUUUAACGAGGCCACAAGUUUACUUUCACAUCUCCUAGAUGAUGAUCCCGGACCAACCACAUUAUCUAUCUUAUGUUAUUUUUAUCCUAUGUUUUAUGUUUUGAAUAAUUUCGAUAACUUGGUCUUUGUUUAGUUUCCAAGGGAGCCUGUUCCCUUUAUUUUUAUUUCUAUUUUCGAGACCUUGUGCAUGUACAAGGGCCUGUCUUUAUAUUCUGGUCGUGACCCCCCUUUAUGAUUAAGCAAUCUUUUAUCAAAAACCCUUUUCUCUCUUCUCUCUUGUCUUGGACGAGUUAAAGUGUGUCUGGUGUGUAAUAUCCAGUCUGUUGGUGUGUAAUAUCCAACACCCAAGGGCUUUAGAGAGGUGUGUCAUAUCCGAUCUAAGCCUAGGAGUAUCAAGAAGCCUUUCCGCAGCCUCUUGUGUCACCAUUCGAUCCACAUACCUUGAGAAGCUUGAGUCUUUUGAUUCGUUUCUGCAAGGAUUAUCCCAUCUGUUCCAGAGCAUCAUCCUAGGAUCUCAUUACGUGAGCAGGACAAGGUCUUUGGACUGCUCUUGACACUGAAUCCGGCAUACAGUGGGCUGAUACAACACAUGCUAAGAGAUGAUACUCUACCUGACUUGGAGGAAGUGUGUUCUCGGAUUCAGAAAGAGCAAGGGUCAAUUGGGUUGUUUGGGAAGAAGGGGGAGUUGUCUCUAGCCAACCAAGCCGCACAAGCUGAGCAAGGAGAGACUCCACAAGCUAACAGAGCUACGAAUGGGAAGUUUGAGGAUAGGAGGUUCAAUGGGAGCUGUGAUCAUUGCAAGAAGCAAGGCCACAAGAAAAGCCAGUGUUGGAUACUCCACCCACACCUCAAACCGGCAAAGUUCAUGAAGGAAAGGGAAGCUAGAGCUCACCUGUCUGACGGGUCAAGUGAUGUGGGUACUAGCAAGGCUCAAGAAGGUGGUACAAGUGAUGGCAAGUCUCUGGUGGCGUACAUGGGAGCUCCUAGCAGCCGCAACAAUGAUCAGGACUUCAUAAGGAAGGCUGACAUUGAUGCACUCAUCAAGAUGUUCAAGGAUAACGGUAACAUCUAUGGUUAUUCUUAUGGUGCUUCCAUGAUUGCUAGGACUGUAGGAGACUUAGAUUGCAUCACUAGAACUGAUAGUAUAGCUAGGUCUCUAAGAAAUGCAAAUAACUACAAUGCAUAUAAGCCAUCUAGUAUACUCGCUCACCUUGCUAGUAAUCAAUCAACUAGACCUCUUAUUGUAGAUUCAGGUGCAUCACAUCACAUGAUUAGUGAUACUAAGUUGAUUAAAAACAUUGUGCCUACUAAGGGUCAUGUGAUGAUUGCAAAUAGUGAUAAGGUUCCAAUUAAAGGAAUAGGAACACUUAAACUGUUUAGUAAAGACUCAAAAGCUUUCUAUAUGCCUGACUUUACUUCAAACUUAUUAUCUGUCAAGAAAUGUGCAACUGACUUGCAAUGCAAUGUCAUAUUUAGUCCUAAUGAUGUGAAGUUUCAGGAUAUUGAAAGCAGCAAAGUGAUUGGAAAAGGAGUAACAAAAGGAGACUUAUAUUUGCUUGAAGAUCUUGCUCCUGUUUCUGACAUUAGCUGCUCUUUUACUACUGCUUCUGUUCCUAGUUUAAAUAAGAAUGCAUUGUGGCAUGCUAGACUAGGACACCCUCAUAAUAAGGCUUUAAAACUGAUGUUGCCAGGUGUUUCUUUUGAAAACAAUGAUUGUGAAGCUUGCAUUUUAGGCAAGCAUUGUAGAACUGUAUUUCCAAACUCUUCUACGGUUUAUGAGAAUUGCUUUGAUCUUAUUCACUCUGAUGUAUGGACUGCUCCUUGUUUAUCUAGAGAGAAUCAUAAGUAUUAUGUCUCAUUCAUUGAUGAAAAAUCUAAAUACACCUGGUUAACCUUAAUUCCAACUAAAGAUAGGGUGCUUGAUGCAUUUAAAAAUUUUCAAUCCUAUGUAACUAACCAUUAUCAAGCCAAGAUUAAGAUUUUCAGGUCAGAUAAUGGAGGAGAAUACAUUGGACAAGCUUUCAAGCAACACUUAUCUCAGUAUGGAAUUCUUCAUCAAACAAGCUGUCCCUACACCCCACAACAGAAUGGUGUGGCUGAGAGGAAGAAUAGGCACCUUAUGGAAGUUGCAAGAUCAAUGAUGUUCCAAGCUAAUGUACCUAAGAAGUUUUGGAGUGAUGCAGUAGCCACGGCCUGCUAUCUAAUCAACAGGACUCCCACGCAGCAAUGAUGACUACAUCAAGAGAUCAGACCUUGAUGCUCUCUUCAAAAUGCUAAAGGAAAACGGUAACACUUAUGGUUAUUCCUUUGGAGCCUCUAUGAUUGCAUACAAGGAUGAUCACUUGAUUAGAGAACUGGUAGAACGGUUAGAAGCUAGACAUGAGUAUAGAACUGCUCACAUUGCUAGAACUGAUAGGAUGCAUCCAUUGCUUAGUAAUCUAUGUCUUAAUGCUAAACAAGUAGGUAAACCAUUGAUUGUUGAUUCUGGUGCAUCACAUCAUAUGAUAAGUGAUGAGAACUUGAUUAAAGAUAUAGAACCUACGCAUGGGCAUGUGAUGAUAGCAAAUGGGGAUAAGAUACCUAUUAGAGGAAUAGGAAAGCUUAAGUUGUUUAACAAAGAAUCUAGAGCUUUUUACAUGCCUGAAUUCACAUCAAACCUAUUAUCUGUGAAGAAAUGUACUAAUGAUUUACAAUGCAAUGUUAUCUUUAGUCCUAAUGAUGUGAAGUUUCAGGAUAUUGAGAGCAGCAAAUUGAUUGGGAAAGGAGUGACUAAGGGAGACCUCUAUAUUGUUGACAUGAAGCAAUAAAGAGAGGAGAAUGAAGUAAGAAGCAAGAGGGGAACAAUUACAUCCGGAUCAAGCAAUCACUCAACUUACCUUGCUAGACAAGUCUGUCCGUACAAGACAACCCUAACUUGGAGUGCAAGACAUAAGAGUGACUGAUGUAGAAGAGAAGAAGGCAAGAAGAAUGUUUGGAAUCGCCUAAGGGAAGUGGGGAACCGUUGAGAGUGCAGGUCACGGGUCUGGUUAAGGAUUCAAAGUCUUCCCACCCGUUAGGACCUGUCACUAUCUAGGACCACUUUGCCCAUCUCUCCUCUGUCUUAACUUCUUUGUUUAUUGUUUCCUUAAUGUCGACAUCUUGCUGUAUGAAUUCUAUAAAUGGGUUGUUCCCAUAAACAAAUCAUUCAAGGGAAAAGAGUUCUCUAUUAUUCUCUUUGUCAAUCUCUCUCUCUCUCUCACGGUUCAACCUAGUUCUUCUCUAAUCUCUUCACAAAUCUUCCUUAAACUCUCACAUAAAUCCUAUAAAACUCUCAUAUAUGCUUGAAGAGCUCACUUCUGUUCCUGAUUAUAGUUGUUCAUUUACUUCUGCUUCUUUAUUGAAUAAAAAUGCAUUGUGGCAUGCUAGAGUAGGACACCCUCAUGUUAAAGCUUUGAACUUAAUGGUACCAGGUGUUGUGUUUGAGAACAAAGAUUGUGAAGCUUGUAUUUUAGGCAAGCAUUGUAGAACUGUGUUUCAAAAGUCUACUACUAUCUAUGAUAACUGCUUUGAUCUAAUUCAUUCUGAUGUAUGGACUGCCCCUUGCUUAUCUAGAGAUAGUUAUAAGUACUUUGUCACGUUCAUUGAUGAAAAAUCCAAAUACACCUGGUUAACCUUAAUUCAGACCAAAGAUAGGGUACUUGAUGCAUUUAGGAACUUUCAAACUUAUGUAACUAACCAUUAUCAUGCUAAGAUUAAAAUUUUGAGAUCAGAUAAUGGAGGAGAGUACACGGGUCAUGCAUUCAAGGAACACUUAUCACAACAUGGGAUCCUACAUCAAACAAGCUGUCCGUAUACUCCACAGCAAAAUGGUGUGGCUGAGAGGAAGAAUAGGCACCUCAUGGAAGUGGCAAGGUCUCUUAUGUUUCAGAGUAAUGUUCCAAAGAGAUUCUGGAGUGAUGCGGUUGCCACUGCUUGUUACUUGAUCAACAGAACUCCAACCAAGGUUCUGAAUGAGAAGGCUCCAUUUGAAGUUCUGAACAGGUACAAACCAGUACUUGAUUACUUGCGAGUCUUUGGAUGUCUAUGCUUUGUGCUCAAACCAGGAGAGAUGAUCAACAAGCUAGAAGCAAGAAGUACUAAGGCUGUGUUCAUAGGAUACUCAGCUACACAGAAAGGAUACAAAUGCUAUGAUCCUAUAGCAAGGAGAGUUCUUGUAUCUAGAGAUGUGAAGUUCUUGGAAGAUAGAGGAUACUAUGAAGAAAAGAACCAAGAAGACUUGAAGGACUUAACAUCAGACAAGGCAACCACCUUGCGGAUCAUCCUUGAAGGUCUUGGAAUCAGUACAUCCCAGGAUCCAAGAGAUCACGCAACAACACCUCCUGAAGUUGGUUCACCAUCCCACCUUGAUCAUGAGGGAGGAGAGACGCAUGAGGAGGAGCCUACUCAAGAGGUUAACCAAGAUGAAGGAGAAGAGAGCAUAGGCUCUGAUGGUCAUGGGCAUGAUCAUGGUGUGAUACAAACACCUUCUCAAGAUGAAGUGGUAGAAGAACAACAAGAAGAAGAACCGGUUGUGCAGCCACUGAGAAGGAGUACAAGGAUAAGGAAGGAUCCUUCCAGUUGGGUAAACACGAGAGUGUACUACAAUGCCCAAGCUGUGGAGCAUCCUUCUCAAGCCGUGUGCUCCUUUGCUCAAUAUCCAGAAGCACAUUGCGCUUUCAUGGUAAACUUGGAUGAGAAUCACAUCCCAAGAAGCUAUGAAGAGGCAAUAAAGGAUAAAGAAUGGAAAGAGUCAGUAGGAGAUGAAGCAGGAGCUAUGAUCAAGAAUGAUACAUGGUAUGAAAGUGAGUUACCAAAAGGGAAGAAGGCUGUGACCAGUAGAUGGAUAUUCACAAUCAAGUACAAAGCGGAUGGAAAGAUUGAGAGGAAGAAGUCAAGGCUAGUUGCAAGAGGUUUCACUCAAACUUAUGGAGAAGAUUAUAUAGAAACCUUUGCACCAGUAGCUAAACUACACACAAUCCGGAUUGUACUAAGCUUGGCUGUGAAUCUUGGAUGGGGGUUAUGGCAAAUGGAUGUGAAGAAUGCAUUUCUACAAGGUGAACUUGAGGAUGAAGUGUAUAUGCAUCCACCUCCAGGCCUUGAACACUUAGUGAAGAAAGGGAAUGUGUUAAGACUGAAGAAAGCUAUCUAUGGGCUGAAGCAAUCACCAAGAGCUUGGUACAACAAGUUGAGCACUACUCUGAAUGGCCGAGGCUUCAAGAAGUCUGAACUAGAUCACACCCUCUUCACACUCACUACUCCCUCAGGUAUGAUUGCUCUCCUUGUGUAUGUUGAUGAUAUCAUUAUCACAGGGAGUGAUAAGGAAGGUAUCAUAGCAACCAAGGAGUUUCUUAAAUCCAUGUUUGAGAUUAAAGACUUGGGAGAAAUGAAAUACUUCCUUGGAAUUGAGAUAUGUAGAUCCAAGGAAGGUUUGUUCAUGUCUCAAAGGAAGUAUACACUUGAUCUUUUGAAAGGUGCAGGUGCUCAUGGUGGCAAGACAGCAAGGAUGCCUAUGGAGGAUGGCUACAAAGUCCCACGAGAGGGGGAGAUUGAAGACAGCAAACCUUAUCAGGAUCCUAAACUCUAUAGAAAACUAGUUGGCAAAUUGAUUUAUCUUACUAUAACUAGACCUGACAUUUGUUUUGCUGUGAAUCAGGUGAGUCAACACAUGCAAGUGCCUAAGGAACAUCAUUGGCGCAUGGUGGAGAGGAUCUUGAUGUAUCUCAACGGCUCACCUGAUCAAGGAGUAUGGAUGGGCUGCAAUGGAAGCACUGAAGUGGUGGGAUACUGUGAUGCGGAUUGGGCUGGUGAUAGAGCAGACAGGAGAUCAACCACAGGCUAUUGCACAUUCAUUGGAGGCAACUUGGUGACUUGGAAGAGCAAGAAGCAGAAGGUAGUGUCAUGUUCAAGUGCAGAAGCCGAGUAUAGAGCCAUGCUGAAGCUUACCAAUGAGUUGGUAUGGAUCAAAGGCAUCUUGAAGCACUUGGAGAUUGAUCAAGCAACUCCAAUGACAAUGCAUUGUGACAAUCAAGCUGCCAUCCACAUUGCAUCCAACUCGGUGUUCCAUGAGAGGACCAAGCACAUUGAAGUUGAUUGCCACAAGGUGAGACAGAUGAUUGUGCUAGGGGUGAUCUUGCCAUGUUAUACAAGGAGUGAAGAUCAGCUAGCGGAUGUGUUCACCAAGGCUGCAAGGCAAAAGACUAUGGAGUCCAUUCACAUCAGAUUGGGACUCAUAGAUCUUGGGAAGAGAAGGAGCUAAUCCCCUUAGCUGCAAGGUCUUUACUCUUUUUCCCUCAUCAAAGUUUUAUCCCAUUGGGUUUUCUUCGGUGAGGUUUUUAAUGAGGAAGAUCUUGUAGCUUUCCAAGCUUAGGCUUUCACAAAGCUAAGCUUGAGGGGGAGUGUUGAGUUGAGUUGAUUAUAUUGGUAUGGAGAGAAGAGGAGUUGAAGAGGAGAAGAGAUGGAGAAGCUUAGGGGGUUUUGGUGUGAAUGGUACGGACGGCCGUACAAGGCCGUACAUGGCCGUACCGUCCGUACCAAUGGCCGCGAUCAAUACUUACCCAACUCGACCAAGUGAAACGGUAACAAGGAGAUAUUACCUUGGGAGCUUAAGGAGAAGGGAUCAGACCGUUGAGUGGAUAAGGGAAGAGCGUGCCAGGCUGGAACAGGCUGUAAAGAGGCAAAGCGUGUGAGCCUUAUCAUCCAAUCAUCCGGAAAGCAACCUUGACUCUACAUGCUUCAAUAGUGCCCAUUUCGACUCUUGUAAACCCUUAUGCUUUCCAUAUAAAUAUGUAACCUCACUCAUUAAUAAGAACAUACAGUUUGAGCCUCUCUAAUCUCUUAGACACUAUGAUUAUCUCUUAGACUCUAAACGGCUCUAUCUAGUCUCUUAAUCUUUCACAAACUUCUCCUAAUCACUUCUUAAACACUCUCUUUAUUCUGAUUACUCUAAGGAUCUCUUAAUCUCAUAUGGUAUCAGAGCCAGGUUCAUUUGAAUCUGGGGUUUGAUCUUUAGAGAGUUACAAGCUAAACGGCUUUGAAGCUACACGCGAGUAGCCUUGAAGGUGUUGAAGCUGUGAUACGUUCUAGUUGAAGCUGUGCUACGUUCUGUGUGGUUGCGUGAUUCUAGACUCAAGGUUGGUGUGUACGAGAUUCAAGAUUCAAGUUUUCAAGUCAAGCAAAGAUGGAACAUGGGAUGAACAUGAGGAUGAAGGUAGCGGUUACUUUCAAAGGUAGCAACUACCUUGUGUGGUCUCGGAUGGUGAAGACUGCGGUGGGAAGUAAGGGUUUGUGGGGGCACAUCACAACAGGGGAGGCUCCGAAACUCAUUACUCAGGGAGGAGAUCAAGAAGAGGUCGCCAAUGAAGCGGCUGUGGAGAAAUGGCAACAAGAAGACAUGCUGGUGAUGACGGUUCUACACGCAUCCUUGGACCCAGCUAUCUUGGAUGCCUACAGCUACUGUGAAUCAGCCAAGGAGCUGUGGGACACGCUGAAGAAGGUAUAUGGGAACAUUUCCAACCUCAGCCGUGUGUUUGAAGUAAAGCUAGCGAUCAACCGUCUUGCACAAGAGGACAUGGAGUUCACUAAGCAUUUGGGGAGGUUCAGGUCCUUAUGGUCAGAGCUGGAGAUGCUGAGGCCGAGCACAACUGAUCCAGAUCAGUUGAAUGAGAGGCGCGAGCAAGACAAGGUCUUUGGGUUGCUUCUCACACUGAACCCGGCCUACACUCACCUCAUCCAGCACAUGCUAAGGUCAGAUAAGCUUCCGGACCUUGAGGAGGUGUGUGCGCAAAUCCAAAGGGAGCAGGGAUCUAUGGGGUUGUUUGGAGGAAAGGGGGAGCUCUCUCUUGCCAAUCAAGCAGCUCAUGAUGACUCAACCGAGGCUCCACAAGCAAACAAGGCAUCUCACGGGAAGUAUGAGGACAGGAAGUUCAAUGGCAACUGUGAUCAUUGCAAGAAGCAUGGUCAUAAGAAGAGCCAAUGCUGGAUACUUCACCCACACCUCAAGCCGGCCAAGUUCAUGAAGGAGCGUGAGGGAAGGGCAAAUGUGACUGAAGGUUCAAAUGGAGCUGGUACCAGCAAGGCGAGUGAAGCGGAUGGGCUUGGAGGCAAUGAGGGGAAUGGGAAGUCUCUGGUGGCUUACACAGGCGCCUCAAGCUCACGCAGCAAUGAUGACUACAUCAAGAGAUCAGACCUUGAUGCUCUCUUCAAAAUGCUAAAGGAAAACGGUAACACUUAUGGUUAUUCCUUUGGAGCCUCUAUGAUUGCAUACAAGGAUGAUCACUUGAUUAGAGAACUGGUAGAACGGUUAGAAGCUAGACAUGAGUAUAGAACUGCUCACAUUGCUAGAACUGAUAGGAUGCAUCCAUUGCUUAGUAAUCUAUGUCUUAAUGCUAAACAAGUAGGUAAACCAUUGAUUGUUGAUUCUGGUGCAUCACAUCAUAUGAUAAGUGAUGAGAACUUGAUUAAAGAUAUAGAACUUACGCAUGGGCAUGUGAUGAUAGCAAAUGGGGAUAAGAUACCUAUUAGAGGAAUAGGAAAGCUUAAGUUGUUUAACAAAGAAUCUAGAGCUUUUUACAUGCCUCAAUUCACAUCAAACCUAUUAUCUGUGAAGAAAUGUACUAAUGAUUUACAAUGCAAUGUUAUCUUUAGUCCUAAUGAUGUGAAGUUUCAGGAUAUUGAGAGCAGCAAAUUGAUUGGGAAAGGAGUGACUAAGGGAGACCUCUAUAUGCUUGAAGAGCUCACUUCUGUUCCUGAUUAUAGUUGUUCAUUUACUUCUGCUUCUUUAUUGAAUAAAAAUGCAUUGUGGCAUGCUAGAGUAGGACACCCUCAUGUUAAAGCUUUGAACUUAAUGGUACCAGGUGUUGUGUUUGAGAACAAAGAUUGUGAAGCUUGUAUUUUAGGCAAGCAUUGUAGAACUGUGUUUCAAAAGUCUACUACUAUCUAUGAUAACUGCUUUGAUCUAAUUCAUUCUGAUGUAUGGACUGCCCCUUGCUUAUCUAGAGAUAGUUAUAAGUACUUUGUCACAUUCAUUGAUGAAAAAUCCAAAUACACCUGGUUAACCUUAAUUCAGACCAAAGAUAGGGUACUUGAUGCAUUUAGGAACUUUCAAACUUAUGUAACUAACCAUUAUCAUGCUAAGAUUAAAAUUUUGAGAUCAGAUAAUGGAGGAGAGUACACGGGUCAUGCAUUCAAGGAACACUUAUCACAACAUGGGAUCCUACAUCAAACAAGCUGUCCGUAUACUCCACAGCAAAAUGGUGUGGCUGAGAGGAAGAAUAGGCACCUCAUGGAAGUGGCAAGGUCUCUUAUGUUUCAGAGUAAUGUUCCAAAGAGAUUCUGGAGUGAUGCGGUUGCCACUGCUUGUUACUUGAUCAACAGAACUCCAACCAAGGUUCUGAAUGAGAAGGCUCCAUUUGAAGUUCUGAACAGGUACAAACCAGUACUUGAUUACUUGCGAGUCUUUGGAUGUCUAUGCUUUGUGCUCAAACCAGGAGAGAUGAUCAACAAGCUAGAAGCAAGAAGUACUAAGGCUGUGUUCAUAGGAUACUCAGCUACACAGAAAGGAUACAAAUGCUAUGAUCCUAUAGCAAGGAGAGUUCUUGUAUCUAGAGAUGUGAAGUUCUUGGAAGAUAGAGGAUACUAUGAAGAAAAGAACCAAGAAGACUUGAAGGACUUAACAUCAGACAAGGCAACCACCUUGCGGAUCAUCCUUGAAGGUCUUGGAAUCAGUACAUCCCAGGAUCCAAGAGAUCACGCAACAACACCUCCUGAAGUUGGUUCACCAUCCCACCUUGAUCAUGAGGGAGGAGAGAUGCAUGAGGAGGAGCCUACUCAAGAGGUUAACCAAGAUGAAGGAGAAGAGAGCAUAGGCUCUGAUGGUCAUGGGCAUGAUCAUGGUGUGAUACAAACACCUUCUCAAGAUGAAGUGGUAGAAGAACAACAGGAAGAAGAACCGGUUGUGCAGCCACUGAGAAGGAGUACAAGGAUAAGGAAGGAUCCUUCCAGUUGGGUAAACACGAGAGUGUACUACAAUGCCCAAGCUGUGGAGCAUCCUUCUCAAGCCGUGUGCUCCUUUGCUCAAUAUCCAGAAGCACAUUGCGCUUUCAUGGUAAACUUGGAUGAGAAUCACAUCCCAAGAAGCUAUGAAGAGGCAAUAAAGGAUAAAGAAUGGAAAGAGUCAGUAGGAGAUGAAGCAGGAGCUAUGAUCAAGAAUGAUACAUGGUAUGAAAGUGAGUUACCAAAAGGGAAGAAGGCUGUGACCAGUAGAUGGAUAUAUGACAUUUAGGAAUGUAAAAGAUUAUCUGAGUUUAGAAAGGAUUAAAGAAGGAGAAUAAGAGAUUAAGAGACAACUUAGAGACUAAUGGAGAAUCAUAGUGAAAUGAGUAAAGAGAAGGAUUGUUUAGAACUGUCUAAUCUUUAUUAAUGACUGAGGUUACAUAUAUAUAGUCCUAAGCAUUAGGGUUUUUCGAAAACAUAAGGAUAGCUAAGCAUGUGAAGUCAAGGGAAGAGCCUUUGCUUUUUGUUUGAACCGGCCAAUGACAAGCUUCACACGAUUAGGCAUCUUCCUGAUCCAAGUCCAAGAUGCUCUUCCUUUCCAGUCUUUGCCAGCCUGUCUUAGCUGUCAAUGCGCGCCUCUCUUAUCCACUCCAACGUCUGGAUAAGCUUUUGGUCGAGUGUAACUUCACCUCAGUUCAUGUGGUUACUCGGUGAAGUUACCAUCCUCCCUUUUACCUUGUACGGUCAGUGUACGGAUGAUCCGUCCGUACCAUUGCCCAAUUCUCUCUUCCCUUUCACUCCUUUGCUUCCUCAUUUCCUUAACUCCUCAAUGCCUUCUCAAAUACCUCAGCACAUCUCAACACUCCCCCUCAAGCUUAGCUUUGUGAAAGCCUAAGCUUGGAUAGCUAUGAGAUCUUCCUCAUUAAAAACCUUACCAAGGAAAACCCAUUGGGAUAAAACCUUGAUAAGGGAAAAAGAGUAAAGACCUCACAGCCAAGGGGAUCAGCUCCUUCUCUUCCCAAGAUCAAUGAGGCCCAACCGUAUGUGAAUGGACUCCAUUGUCUUCUGUCUUGCAGCCUUGGUGAACACAUCCGCUAACUGAUCUUCACUUCUUGUGUAGCAUGGCAAGAUGACUCCUAGGAUGAUCAUCUGCCUCACCUUGUGGCAAUCAACUUCAAUGUGCUUGGUUCUCUCAUGGAACACCGAGUUGGAGGCAAUGUGGAUAGCUGCUUGGUUGUCACAAUGCAUGGUCAUUGGCGUGGCUUGAUCAAUCUCCAAAUGCUUCAAGAUGCCUUUGAUCCAUACUAACUCGUUGGUGAGCUUCAACAUAGCUCUAUACUCAGCUUCUGCACUUGAGCAAGACACCACCUUCUGCUUCUUACUCUUCCAAGUCACCAAGUUGCCUCCAAUGAAUGUGCAAUAGCCUGUGGUUGAUCUCCUGUCUGCUCUAUCACCAGCCCAAUCCGCAUCACAGUAUCCCACCACUUCAGUGCUUCCAUUGCAGCCCAUCCAUACUCCUUGAUCAGGUGAGCCGUUGAGAUACAUCAAGAUCCUCUCUACCAUGCGCCAGUGAUGCUCCUUAGGCACUUGCAUGUGUUGACUCACCUGAUUCACAGCAAAGCAAAUGUCAGGUCUAGUUAUGGUAAGAUAAAUCAAUUUGCCAACUAGUUUUCUAUAGAGUUUAGGAUCCUGAUAAGGCUUGCUGUCUUCAAUCUCCCCCUCUCGUGGGACUUUGUAGCCAUCCUCCAUAGGCAUCCUUGCUGUCUUGCCUCCAUAAGCACCUGCACCUUUCAAAAGAUCAAGUGUAUAUUUCCUUUGGGACAUGAACAAACCUUCCUUGGAUCUACAUAUCUCAAUUCCAAGAAAGUAUUUCAUUUCUCCCAAGUCUUUAAUCUCAAACAUGGAUUUAAGGAACUCCUUGGUUGCUAUGAUACCCUCCUUAUCACUUCCUGUGAUAAUGAUAUCAUCAACAUACACAAGGAGUGCAAUCAUACCUGAGGGGGUGGUGAGUGUGAAGAGAGUGUGAUCUAGUUCAGACUUCUUGAAGCCUCGGCCAUUAAGAGUAGUACUCAGCUUGUUGUACCAAGCUCUUGGUGAUUGCUUCAGCCCAUAGAUAGCUUUCUUCAAUCUCAACACAUUCCCUCUCUUCACUAAGUGUUCAAGGCCUGGAGGUGGAUGCAUAUACACUUCAUCCUCAAGUUCACCUUGUAGAAAGGCAUUCUUCACAUCCAUUUGCCAUAACCCCCAUCCAAGAUUCACAGCCAAGCUUAACACAAUCCGGAUUGUAUGUAGUUUAGCUACUGGUGCAAAGGUUUCUAUGUAAUCUUCUCCAUAAGUUUGAGUGAAACCUCUUGCAACCAGCCUUGACUUCUUUCUCUCAAUCUUUCCAUCUGCCUUAUACUUGAUUGUGAAUAUCCACCUACUAGUCACAGCCUUCUUCUCUUUUGGUAGCUCACUCUCAUACCAUGUAUCAUUCUUGAUCAUAGCUCCUGCCUCAGCUCCAACUGACUCCUUCCAUUCUUUAUCCAUGAUUGCUUCUUCAUAGCUUCUUGGAAUGUAAUUCUCAUCCAAGUUAACCAUGAAGGCACAAUGUUCUUCAGGGUAUUGAGCAAAUGAACACACGACUUGAGAAGGAUGCUCCACUGCUUGGGCAUUGUAGUACACUCGCGUGUUUACCCAAGAGGAAGGAUCCUUUCUCAGCCUUGUGCUUCUCCUCAAUACUGGUUGUUCUUGCUCUUGAACUGGCUCAUCUUGUGUAGUCGGUUCUUGUGCUUCAUUCUGAUGUUCUUCCUCUCCUUGGUCUUGCUCACCUUGAUGAUGAGAACCUGAGUUGAACUCUCCUCCUUCCUCACUCAAGCCGACUCCUUCUUGGCCAUUUUCUUGAGUUUCAGGUUCACUUCCCCCCUCAUGAUCAAGGUGAGGUGUUUGAGCAGCUCCACUUGGUGCAGUUGAGCUCUCUUCUUGUCUUCCACUUCUUGUGGAUUGAUCCUGGUUCAUCUUGAUACCGAGACCUUCCAAAAUGAUUCUUAAGACUCCAGCCUUAUCUGAUGUGAGAUCCUUCAAAUCUUCUUGAUUCUUCUCCUCAUAGUAUCCUCUUUCUUCAAUGAACUUCACAUCUCUAGAUACAAGCACCCUUCUAGCUUCUGGAUCAUAACACUUAUAUCCUUUUUGAGUUGUUGAGUAGCCAAUGAACAUUGCCUUUCUGCUUCUUGCUUCUAGCUUGUUCCUCAACUCUCCUGGUACUAGAACAUAGCAUAAGCAUCCAAACACUCUCAUGUAUUCCAAGGAUGGCUUGCGCUUGUUCAGAACUUCAAAUGGUGCUUGAUCCUUCAACACCUUUGUAGGCAUCCUGUUGAUUAGAUAGCACGCAGUAGAUACAGCAUCACUCCAGAAUCUCUUAGGUACAUUAGCUUGGAACAUCAGUGACCGAGCCACUUCCAUCAAGUGCCUGUUCUUCCUCUCAGCUACACCAUUCUGUUGUGGUGUGUAGGGACAGCUUGUUUGAUGAAGGAUUCCAUGGUGAUCUAGAUGACUCUUGAACGCAUAGCUUGUGUACUCCCCUCCAUUAUCUGAUCUCAAAAUUUUAAUCCUAGCAUGAUAAUGGUUAGUCACAUAAGCUUGAAAGUUCUUGAAUGCAUCUAUCACCCUAUCUUUUGAUGGAAUGAGGGUUAACCAGGUGUAUUUAGAUUUUUCAUCAAUGAAUGUGACAAAAUACUUAUGAUUAUCUCUAGAAAAACUAGGUGCAGUCCACACAUCAGUAUGAAUCAAAUCAAAGCAAUUUUCAUAGACAGUAGAUGUUCUUGGAAACACAUUCUUACAAUGCUUGCCUAAAAUGCAAGCCUCACACUUAUUAUUUUCAAAAACCACACCUGGUAACAUCAAGUUUAAAGCCCUCUCAUAGGGAUGACCUAAUCUAGCAUGCCACAAUGCAUUUUUAUUCAAACUAGAAGCAGAAGUAAAUGAGCAGUUAUAAUUGGAAACAGGAUCAAGCUUCUCAAGCAUGUAUAAGUCUCCCUUUGUAACUCCUUUUCCAAUCAAUUGGCUGCUCUCAAUAUCCUGAAACUUCACAUCAUUAGGACUGAAUAUAACAUUGCAAUUCAAAUCAGUAGUGCAUUUCUUAACUGAAAGAAGGUUUGAUGUGAAUUCCGGAAUAUAAAAUGCUCUAGUGUUCUUAUCAAAUAGCUUUAAGUUUCCUAUUCCCUUAAUAGGUAUCUUAUCCCCAUUUGCAAUCAUCACACAUCCAUUAGUAGGUUCUAUAUCUUUAAUCAGGUUGGUGUCACUAAUCAUAUGAUGAGAUGCACCUGAAUCUAUAAUCAAUGGUUUGGAUGUAUUGCUAGCACUAUGGCAGAUGCUAAUUUGUGAUCUAUAUGCAUUCAUCCUAGCAUUACUAUCAAUGCAAUGCUCAAUUUCAGUCUUACUAUCAAUCCUAGCAAUCUCAGCCACAUUAGGAGUCAUUUCUAUAGUUCUAGCAAUCAUAGAAGCACCAAAUGAAUACCCAUGAAUGUUACCAUUAUCCUUGAGCAUUUUGAUGAGUGCAUCCAUCUCGGAUCUCCUGAUGAAGUCUUGAUCAUUGCCUCGGGGGUUGAUAGCUCCAGUGUAGGUCACCAAAGCUUUUCCAUCUCCUUCACGGUUCUCCCCUUCAGCUCCACGGUUGGAUGGCCCUGCUCCACUUGAUCCUUCAGUCAUGUGAGCUUUUGCCUCUCUCUCCUUCAUGAACUUAGCCGGCUUCAAGUGGGGAUGGAGUAUCCAGCACUGACUCUUCUUGUGUCCAUGCUUCUUGCAGUGAUCACAGUUCCCAUUGAACUUCCUAUCCUCAUACUUGUUGUAACCAUCUUUGUUGGCUUGUGGAGGCUCUUCCCGGUCAGGUUGCACAGCAUUUGCAAGAGAUAAGUCUCCCUUGCCUCCAAACAAACCCAUUGAGCCCUGCUCCUUCUGUAUCUUAGCGCACACCUCUUCAAGGUCAGGCAGCUUCUCAGACCAUAGCAUGUGCUGGAUAAGACCACUGUAGCUUGCAUUCAACGUGAGCAGCAACCCAAAGACCUUGUCCUGCUCGCGUCUCUCAUUUAGAAGCUCUGGAUCAACCGUGCUUGGCCUCAGCAUCUCCAACUCAGACCAAAGAGACCUGAACCUCCCCAAGUGCUUAGUGAACUCCGUGUCAUCUUGAGUUAACCCAUUGAUUGCCUUCUUGACUUCAAACACUCGGUUCAGGUUAGAAGUGUUUCCAUACACUUUCUGUAGAGUAUCCCACAGCUCCUUGGCUGUCUCACAGUAGCUAUAAGCAUCUAGUAUAGCCGGCUCCAAAGAGGCAUGAAGAACUGACAUCACCAUCAUGUCUUCUUGUUGCCACUUCUCUACAACACUCUCCUCGGGACUCUCCGUUUCAUCCCCUUGAGUAAUCACCUUUGGAGCCUCACCAGAUGUGAUAUGCUUCCACAAACCCUUGCUUCCCACAGCAGUCUUCACCAUCCUAGACCAGACUAGGUAGUUGGUUCCCUUGAAUGUCACCGCGACCUUCAUCUUCAUGCCACUCUCCAUCUUGAACAGCUUGACGUCUCUAGCUUGAACAACCGGUUAGAUCUUGUACUGAGAACCCACGCUGCUCUCUAGAACACAGAUUCACUCUUGAGUCUUCAAAUGAACCUCUCACGGACCACCAAGACACACACAAACACCUUGAGCUUUUGGAACUCUCAAGAAACUCUCAAACACACUCACAGAGACACUCACGAACUCAGAUUGUAAUCAACCUGGCUCUGAUACCAUAUGACAUUUAGGAAUGUAAGAGGUUAUCUGAGUUUAGAAAGGAUUAAAGAAGGAGAAUAAGAGAUUAAGAGACAACUUAGAGACUAAUGGAGAAUCAUAGUGAAAUGAGUAAGGAGAAGGAUUGUUAAGAACUGUCUAAUCUUUCAUUAAGGACAUGAGUCACAAUAUAUAGUGUGAGCAUACAAGGGUUUUCGAAAUCAAGAGAAGACUAAAGCAUGUGAGGUCAAUCAGGAGAGGAUAAGCUCAUUUGGACUAGCCAAUUAGCUUCUCCACAUGCGCGGAGCAUCUAGCAUCUUGGACCGAGAUGCUCUUGCCUUUCCAGCUGUUCCAGCCUGUCAUGCCGCGCUCUACCUUAUCCCUAAACGGUCUGAUGCAUCCAGGUAAGUUCCUUCCCUUCACCUAAGUUACCGCAAGUAACUUCUUUACCCUUGUCAAGGUUUCACCCAUCUUCAUGUGUACGGUCAUGUACGGACUGUACGGACUUGUACGGACCUUGCCCAAACCUUCCCAAGCUUCAACUCAUCUCCUUAGUCUCAACUCCUCACUUGCUUCACACUUAUACGCAACUCAACUCAACACUAUACUCAUUCCUAGCUUCUAACCGUUCUACUAGUUCUCUAAUCAAGUGAUCAUCCUUAUAUGCAAUCAUAGAAGCUCCAAAGGAAUAACCAUAAGUGUUACCGUUUUCCUUUAGCAUUUUGAAGAGAGCAUCAAGGUCUGAUCUCUUGAUGUAGUCAUCAUUGCUGCGUGAGCUUGAGGCGCCUGUGUAAGCCACCAGAGACUUCCCAUUCCCAUCAUUGCCUCCAAGCCCAUCCGCUUCACUCGCCUUGCUGGUGCCAGCUCCACUUGAACCUUCAGUCACAUUUGCCCUUCCCUCACGCUCCUUCAUGAACUUGGCCGGCUUGAGGUGUGGGUGUAGUAUCCAGCAUUGGCUCUUCUUAUGACCAUGCUUCUUGCAAUGAUCACAGUUGCCAUUGAACUUCCUGUCCUCGUACUUCCCGUGAGAUGCCUUGUUUGCUUGUGGAGUCUCGGUUGAGUCCUCAUGAGCUGCUUGAUUGGCAAGAGAGAGCUCCCCCUUUCCUCCAAACAACCCCAUAGAUCCCUGCUCCCUUUGGAUUUGCGCACACACCUCCUCAAGGUCCGGAAGCUUGUCUGGCCUUAGCAUGUGCUGGAUGAGUUGAGUGUAGGCCGGGUUCAGUGUGAGAAGCAACCCAAAGACCUUGUCUUGCUCGCGCCUCUCAUUCAACUGAUCUGGAUCAGUUGUGCUCGGCCUCAGCAUCUCCAGCUCUGACCAUAAGGACCUGAACCUCCCCAAGUGCUUAGUGAACUCCAUGUCCUCUUGUGCAAGACGGUUGAUCGCUAGCCUCAUUUCAAACACACGGCUGAGGUUGGAAGUGUUCCCAUACACCUUCUUCAGCGUGUCCCACAGCUCCUUGGCUGAUUCACAGUAGCUGUAGGCAUCCAAGAUAGCUGGGUCCAAGGAUGCGUGUAGAACCGUCAUCACCAGCAUGUCUUCUUGUUGCCAUUUCUCCACAGCCGCUUCAUUGGAGACCUCUUCUUGAUCUCCUCCCUGAGUAAUGAGUUUCGGAGCCUCCCCUGUUGUGAUGUGCCCCCACAAACCCUUACUCCCCACCGCAGUCUUCACCAUCCGAGACCACACAAGGUAGUUGCUACCUUUGAAAGUAACCGCUACCUUCAUCCUCAUGUUCAUCCCAUGUUCCAUCUUUGCUUGACUUGAAAACUUGAAUCUUGGAUUUCGUACACACCAACCUUGAGUCUAGAAUCACGCAAACCAACAGAACGUAGCACAGCUUCAACUAGAACGGACCACAGCUUCAACACCUUCAAGACUACUCGCGUGUAGCUUCAAAGACGUUUAGCUUGUAACUCUCUAAAGAUCAAACAAUCAAACCAGGAUGAAUCACUUUGUGAGAAGCUUUAUUUGGAUACAUAAAGUGGUGGAGAAUCACCAGGAAGUUGAAUAAAUAUCAUAGGAGUUGGCGUGAAGUAUGAGAUUAAGAGAUCCUUAGAGUAAACAGAAUAAAGAGAGUGUUUAGGAAGUGAUUAAGAGACGUUUGUGAAAGAUUAGGAGACUAGAUAGAGCCGUUUAGUGUCUAAGAGAAAAGCAUAGUGUCUAAGAGAUUAGAGAGACUCAAACUGCAUAAUCUUCAUUAGGGUUGAUGAGUUACAAUAUAUAGAGUGAGCAUACAAGGGUUUUCGAAAUCAAGAGAAGACUAAAGCAUGUGAGGUCAAUCAGGAGAGGAUAAGCUCAUUUGGACUAGCCAAUUAGCUUCUCCACAUGCGCGGAGUAUCUGGCAUCUUGGACCGAGAUGCUCUUGCCUUUCCAGCUGUUCCAGCCUGUCAAGGCGCGCUCUACCUUAUCCCUAAACGGUCUGAUGCCUCAAGGUAAGUUCCUUCCCUUUACCUUAGUUACCGUGUUACUUGGCUGAUGCAAGGUAAGUCUUGGUCGAUGCUGGAUGGUACGGACUGUACGGCUUGUACGGCCUUGUACGGACGUCCGUACCAUGCUCUCCCUAAACUCCCUCAAGCUUCCUCAUCUCCUUUCCUCUUCAACUCCUUAGCUCUUCAUACAUAUAUUCAGCUCAACUCAACACUCCCCCUCAAGCUUAGCUUUGUACAAGUCUAAGCUUGGACAGCCACAAGAUCUUCCUCAUUAAAAACCUCACCAAAGAAAACCCAAUGGGAUAAAACUUUGAUGAGGGAAAAAGAGUAAAGACCUUGCAGCUAAGGGGAUUAGCUCCUUCUCUUCCCAAGAUCAAUGAGGCCCAACCUGAUGUGAAUGGACUCCAUUGUCUUCUGUCUUGCAGCCUUGGUGAACACAUCCGCUAGCUGAUCUUCACUCCUUGUGUAACAUGGCAAGAUCACCCCUAGCACAAUCAUCUGCCUCACCUUGUGACAAUCAACUUCAAUGUGCUUGGUCCUCUCAUGAAACACCGAGUUGGAUGCAAUGUGGAUGGCAGAUUGAUUGUCACAAUGCAUUGUCAUUGGAGUUGCUUGAUCAAUCUCCAAGUGCUUCAAGAUGCCUUUGAUCCAUACCAACUCGUUGGUGAGCUUCAGCAUGGCUCUAUACUCGGCUUCUGCACUUGAACAUGACACUACCUUCUGCUUCUUGCUCUUCCAAGUCACCAAGUUGCCUCCAAUGAAUGUGCAAUAGCCUGUGGUUGAUCUCCUGUCUGCUCUAUCACCAGCCCAAUCCGCAUCACAGUAUCCCACCACUUCAGUGCUUCCAUUGCAGCCCAUCCAUACUCCUUGAUCAGGUGAGCCGUUGAGAUACAUCAAGAUCCUCUCCACCAUGUGCCAGUGAUGCUCCUUAGGCACUUGCAUGUGUUGACUCACCUGAUUCACAGCAAAGCAGAUGUCAGGUCUAGUUAUAGUAAGAUAAAUCAAUUUGCCAACAAGUUUUCUAUAGAGUUUAGGAUCCUGAUAAGGUUUGCUGUCUUCAAUCUCCCCCUCUCGUGGGACUUUGUAGCCAUCCUCCAUAGGCAUCCUUGCUGACUUGCCUCCAUAAGCACCUGCACCUUUCAAAAGAUCAAGUGUAUAUUUCCUUUGGGACAUGAACAAACCUUCCUUGGAUCUACAUAUCUCAAUUCCAAGGAAGUAUUUCAUUUCUCCCAAGUCUUUAAUCUCAAACAUGGAUUUAAGAAACUCCUUGGUUGCGAUGAUACCUUCCUUAUCACUCCCUGUGAUAAUGAUAUCAUCAACAUACACAAGGAGAGCAAUCAUACCUGAGGGAGUCGUGAGAGUGAAGAGAGUGUGAUCUAGUUCAGACUUCUUGAAGCCUCGGCCAUUCAGAGUAGUGCUCAACUUGUUGUACCAAGCCCUUGGUGAUUGCUUCAGUCCAUAGAUGGCUUUCUUCAAUCUCAGUACAUUCCCACUCUUUACUAAGUGUUCAAGGCCUGGAGGUGGAUGCAUAUACACUUCAUCCUCAAGUUCACCUUGUAGAAACGCAUUCUUCACAUCCAUUUGCCAUAACCCCCAUCCAAGAUUCACAGCCAAGCUUAGUACAAUCCGGAUUGUGUGUAGUUUAGCUACUGGUGCAAAGGUUUCUAUGUAAUCUUCUCCAUAAGUUUGAGUGAACCCUCUUGCAACUAGUCUUGACUUCUUCCUCUCAACCUUUCCAUCCGCUUUGUACUUGAUUGUGAAUAUCCAUCUACUAGUCACAGCCUUCUUCCCUUUUGGUAACUCACUCUCAUACCAUGUAUCAUUCUUGAUCAUUGCUCCUGCCUCAUCUCCAACUGAUUCCUUCCAUUCUUUAUCUUUCAUUGCUUCUUCAUAGCUUCUUGGGAUGUGAUUCUCAUCCAAGUUUACCAUGAAAGCGCAAUGUGCUUCUGGGUAUUGAGGAUGUGAUUCUCAUCCAAGUUUACCAUGAAAGCGCAAUGUGCUUCUGGAUAUUGAGCAAAGGAGCACACGGCUUGAGAAGGAUGCUCCACAGCUUGGGCAUUGUAGUACACUCUCGUGUUUACCCAACUGGAAGGAUCCUUCCUUAUCCUUGUACUCCUUCUUAGUGGCUGCACAACCGGUUCUUCUUCCUGUUGUUCUUCUACCACUUCAUCUUGAGAAGGUGUUUGUGUCACACCAUGAUCAUGUCCAUGACCAUCCGAGCCUAUGCUCUCUUCUCCUUCAUUCUCUACUCCUCCUUCAUCUUGGUUGGCCUCUUGCAUAGGCUCCUCAUGCUCCUCUCCUCCCUCAUGAUCAAGGUGGGAUGGUGAACCAACUUCAGGAGGUGUAGUUGCGUGAUUCCUCGGAUCCUGGGAUGUACUGAUUCCAAGACCUUCAAGAAUGAUCCGCAAGGUGGUGGCCUUGUCUGAUGUUAAGUCCUUCAGGUCUUCUUGAUUCUUUUCUUCAUAGUAUCCUCUAUCUUCCAAGAACUUCACAUCUCUAGAUACAAGAACUCUCCUUGCUAUAGGAUCAUAGCAUUUGUAUCCUUUCUGUGUAGCUGAGUAUCCUAUGAACACAGCCUUAGUGCUUCUUGCUUCUAGCUUGUUGAUCAUCUCUCCUGGUUUGAGUACAAAGCAUAGGCAUCCAAAGACUCGCAAAUAAUCAAGAGAGUUGAUCAUCUCUCCUGGUUUGAGCACAAAGCAUAGACAUCCAAAGACUUUCAAGUAAUCAAGAGCUGGCUUGUACCUGUUCAGAACUUCAAAUGGAGCCUUCUCAUUCAGAACUUUGGUUGGGGUUCUGUUUAUCAAAAUGGAGCCUUCUCAUUCAGAACUUUGGUUGGAGUUCUGUUUAUCAGGUAACAAGCAGUGGCAACCGCAUCACUCCAAAAUCUCUUUGGAACAUUACUCUGAAACAUAAGUGACCUUGCCACUUCCAUGAGAUGCCUAUUCUUCCUCUCAGCCACUCCAUUUUGCUGUGGAGUAUAAGGACAGCUUGUUUGAUGUAGGAUCCCAUGUUGUGAUAGGUGUUGCUUGAAUGCAUGACUCGUGUACUCCCCUCCAUUAUCUGAUCUCAAAAUUUUAAUCUUAGCAUGAUAAUGGUUAGUUACAUAAGUUUGAAAAUUCCUAAAUGCAUCAAGUACCCUAUCUUUGGUCUGAAUUAAGGUUAACCAGGUGUAUUUGGAUUUUUCAUCAAUGAAUGUGACAAAAUACUUAUAACUAUCUCUAGAUAAGCAAGGGGCAGUCCAUACAUCUGAAUGAAUUAGAUCAAAGCAAUUAUCAUAAACACUAUCUCUAGAUAAGCAAGGAGCAGUCCACACAUCUGAAUGAAUUAGAUCAAAGCAAUUAUCAUAAACGGUAGUAGACUUUUGAAACACAGUUCUACAAUGCUUGCCUAAAAUGCAAGCUUCACAAUCCUUAUUCUCAAACACAACACCUGGUACCAUUAAGUUCAAAGCUUUAACAUGAGGGUGUCCUACUCUAGCAUGCCACAAUGCAUUUUUAUUCAACAAAGAAGCAGAAGUAAACGAGCAACUAUAAUCAGGAACAGAAGUGAGUUCUUCAAGCAUAUAGAGAUCUCCCUUAGUCACCCCUUUCCCAAUCAACCUGCUGCUCUCAAUAUCCUGAAACUUCACAUCAUUAGGACUAAAGAUAACAUUGCAUUGUAAAUCAUUAGUACAUUUCUUCACUGAUAAUAGGUUUGAUGUGAAUUCAGGCAUGUAAAAAGCUCUAGAUUCUUUGUUAAACAGCUUAAGCUUUCCUAUUCCUCUAAUGGGUAUCUUAUCCCCAUUUGCUAUCAUCACAUGCCCAUGUGUAGGUUCUAUAUCCUUAAUCAAGUUUUCAUCACUUAUCAUAUGAUGUGAUGCACCAGAAUCAACAAUCAAUGGUUUACCUACUCGUUUAGCAUUAUGGCAUAGAUUACUAAGUGAUGAAUGCAUCUUAUCAGUUCUAGCAAUGUAAGCAUGCCUAUACUCAUUCCUAGCUUCUAACCGUUCUACUAGUUCUCUAAUCAAGUGAUCAUCCUUAUAUGCAAUCAUAGAAGCUCCAAAGGAAUAACCGUAAGUGUUACCGUUUUCCUUUAGCAUUUUGAAGAGGGCAUCAAGGUCUGAUCUCUUGAUGUAGUCAUCAUUGCUGCGGGAGCUUGAAGCGCCUGUGUAAGCCACCAGAGACUUCCCAUUCCCAUCAUUGCCUCCAAGCCCAUCCACUUCACUGAUCUUGCUGGUGCCAGCUCCACUUGAACCUUCAGUCACAUUUGCCCUUCCCUCACGCUCCUUCAUGAACUUGGCCGGCUUGAGGUGUGGGUGCAGUAUCCAGCAUUGGCUCUUCUUAUGACCAUGCUUCUUGCAAUGAUCACAGUUGCCAUUGAACUUCCUGUCCUCGUACUUCCCGUGAGAUGCCUUGUUUGCUUGUGGAGCCUCGGUUGAAUCCUCAUGAGCUGCUUGAUUGGCAAGAGAGAGCUCCCCCUUUCCUCCAAACAAACCCAUAGAUCCCUGCUCCCUUUGGAUUUGUGCACACACCUCCUCAAGGUCCGGAAGCUUGUCUGACCUUAACAUGUGCUGGAUGAGCUGGGUGUAGGCCGGGUUCAGUGUGAGAAGCAGACCAAAGACCUUGUCUUGCUCGCGCCUCUCAUUCAACUGAUCUGGAUCAGUUGUGCUCGGCCUCAGCAUCUCCAGCUCUGACCAUAAGGACCUGAACCUCCCCAAGUGCUUAGUGAACUCCAUGUCCUCUUGUGCCAGACGGUUGAUCGCUAGCUUCACUUCAAACACACGGCUGAGGUUGGAAAUGUUCCCAUACACCUUCUUCAGCGUGUCCCACAGCUCCUUGGCUGAUUCACAGUAGCUGUAGGCAUCCAAGAUAGCUGGGUCCAAGGAUGCGUGUAGAACCGUCAUCACCAGCAUGUCUUCUUGUUGCCAUUUCUCCACAGCCGCUUCAUUGGAGACCUCUUCUUGAUCUCCUCCCUGAGUAAUGAGUUUCGGAGCCUCCCCUGUUGUGAUGUGCCCCCACAAACCCUUACUUCCCACAGCAGUCUUCACCAUCCGAGACCACACAAGGUAGUUGCUACCUUUGAAAGUAACCGCUACCUUCAUCCUCAUGUUCAUCCCCUGUUCCAUCUUUGCUUGACUUGAAAACUUGUAUCUUGGAUCUUGUACACACCAACCUUGAGUCUAGAAUCACGCAAACCCACAGAACGUAGCACAGCUUCAACUAGAACGAACCACAGCUUUAACACCUUCAACACUACUCGUGUGUAGCUUCAAAGACGUUUAGCUUGUAACUCUCUAAAGAUCAAACCCCAGAUUCAAAUGAACCUGGCUCUGAUACCAUAUGAGAUUAAGAGAUCUUUAGAGUGAUUAGAGUAAAGAGAGUGUUUAGGAAGUGAUUAAGAGAAGUUUGUGAAAGAUUAAGAGACUAGGAAGAGCCGUUUAGUGUCUAAGAGAAAACCAUAGUCUAAGAGAUUAGAGAGACUCGAACUGACUGAUUUUAUUAAUGAGUGAGGUUACAUAUUUAUAUAGAAGACAUUAGGGUUUACAAGAGGCGAAAUGGGCACUAUUGAAGCAUGUAGAGUCAAGGUUGCUUUCCGGUUGAUUGGAUGGUAAGGCUCACAGUUUACAAGAGAAGAAAGGAGCACUAUUGAAGCAUGUGGAGUCAAGGGUCGCUUUUGAAUGGACGGAUGGGAAGCCUUACAUGCUUUGGCUCUUUACAGCCUGUCACAGCCUGUCUUGCUCUUCCCUUAUCCACUCAACGGUCUAAUCCCUUCUCCUUAAGUCCCCAAGGUAACACUCCCUUGUUACCGUUUCACUUGGUCGAGUUGGGUAAGUUUUGGUCGAGGCCUUUGGUACGGACGGUACGGCCAUGUACGGCCUUGUACGGACGUCCGUACCAUUCACACCCAAACCCCCUAAGCUUCUCCAUCUCUUCUCCUCUUCAACUCCUCUUCUCUCCAUACCAAUAUAAUCAACUCAACUCAACAAUAACAGUGAAGUAUCGCCACCCUAUUCCUAGAUUAGAUGAUAUGCUUGAUGAGUUGCAUGGUUCUAGUGUCUUUUCUAAGAUAGAUUUGAAGAGUGGAUAUCAUCAAAUAAGAAUGAAAGAGGGAGAUGAGUGGAAAACAGCCUUUAAGACUAAGCAUGGGUUGUAUGAGUGGUUAGUCAUGCCUUUUGGAUUAACCAAUGCUCCUAGCACUUUUAUGAGAUUGAUGAAUCAUGUGCUUAGAUCUUUCAUAGGUUUGUUUGUGGUAGUAUACUUUGAUGAUAUCCUUGUUUACAGUAAGAACCUAGGAGAGCAUAUAGAUCAUCUUAAGUCUGUUCUUGAUGUGUUGAGAAAAGAAAAACUGUUUGCUAACCUUAAGAAAUGCACUUUUUGUACGGAUAACUUGGUCUUCCUAGGCUUUGUUGUGAGUGCAGAUGGCGUAAAGGUGGAUCAAGAGAAGGUGAAAGCAAUACAAGAGUGGCCGAUUCCUAUUUUUUUAGGCUUUGUUGUGAGUGCAGAUGGAGUAAAGGUGGAUCAGGAGAAGGUGAGAGCAAUUCAAGAAUGGCCAAUUCCAAAGACUAUAAGUGAAGUAAGGAGCUUUCACGGCCUUGCUGGCUUCUACCGACGGUUUGUGAAAGACUUUAGCACCAUAGCAGCCCCAUUGACUGAGGUGAUCAAGAAAGAAGUUGGAUUCAAAUGGGGAGAAGCACAAGAACUUGCCUUUCAAUGCCUAAAAGAGAAGCUUACUAAUGCCCCUCUUCUUAUACUUCCUGAUUUCAAUAAAACUUUUGAAAUUGAAUGUGAUGCCUCAGGAAUUGGAAUUGGUGCUGUUCUUAUGCAGGAGAAGAGACCCAUAGCUUAUUUCAGUGAGAAGCUUGGAGGCGCCACUCUCAACUAUGCAACUUAUGAUAAGGAAUUGUAUGCCUUGGUGAGAGCUUUGCAGACUUGGCAGCAUUACUUGUGGCCCAAGGAGUUUGUGAUACACACGGAUCAUGAGUCUCUCAAGUACUUGAAAGGACAGAACAAGCUCAGCAAAAGACACGCAAGGUGGGUUGAGUUCAUUGAGACAUUUCCUUAUGUCAUCAAGUACAAACAAGGUAAAGAAAACAUAGUUGCUGAUGCACUAUCUCGAAGGUAUGUUCUCUUAAACACUCUUGAUGCUAAGUUGUUAGGUUUUGAGCAGAUUAAAGAGAUGUAUGAAUCUGAUCCAGAUUUUAAAGAAGCUUAUAACUCUUGUGAGAAAUUUGCUGCUUGACAUUAUUUUAGACAUGAUGGAUUCCUCUUUUAUGAUAAUAGACUGUGUGUGCCUAAUUGCUCUUUGAGAGAUUUGUUUGUUAGGGAAUCACAUGGAGGAAGUCUCAUGGGUCACUUUGGUAUUGCAAAGACUCUUAAAACCUUGCAGGAUCAUUUCUUUUGGCCUCGGAUGAAAAGUGAUGUGGAGAAACUAUGUGAGAGAUGUGCAACUUGCAAGCAAGCUAAGUCUAAGGUUCAGUCUCACGGUUUGUAUACUCCUCUCCCUAUUCCUUAUCAUCCUUGGAAUGACAUAUCUAUGGAUUUCAUUGUUGGAUUGCCUAGAACUAGGACUGGGAAGGAUUCUAUCUUUGUUGUUGUUGACAGGUUCUCAAAAAUGGCACAUUUCAUAGCAUGUCAUAAAACUGAUGAUGCAUUGCAUGUAGCUAACCUGUUCUUUAAGGAGAUUGUGCGUUUACAUGGUAUGCCUAGGACCAUAGUUUCUGAUAGGGAUACUAAGUUUCUUAGUUAUUUUUGGAAAACUCUUUGGUCUAAGCUAGGCACUAAGUUGUUGUUCUCCACUACUUGUCAUCCGCAAACUGAUGGACAGACUGAAGUAGUUAAUAGAACUCUAGGAACACUCUUGCGUGCAUUCAUUAAAAAGAAUCUGAAAUCUUGGGAAGAUUAUCUGCCACAUUGUGAAUUUGCAUAUAAUCAUGCUGUGCAUUCUGCUUCUAANNNNNNNNNNNNNNNNNNNNNNNNNNNNNNNNNNNNNNNNNNNNNNNNNNNNNNNNNNNNNNNNNNNNNNNNNNNNNNNNNNNNNNNNNNNNNNNNNNNNNNNNNNNNNNNNNNNNNNNNNNNNNNNNNNNNNNNNNNNNNNNNNNNNNNNNNNNNNNNNNNNNNNNNNNNNNNNNNNNNNNNNNNNNNNNNNNNNNNNNNNNNNNNNNNNNNNNNNNNNNNNNNNNNNNNNNNNNNNNNNNNNNNNNNNNNNNNNNNNNNNNNNNNNNNNNNNNNNNNNNNNNNNNNNNNNNNNNNNNNNNNNNNNNNNNNNNNNNNNNNNNNNNNNNNNNNNNNNNNNNNNNNNNNNNNNNNNNNNNNNNNNNNNNNNNNNNNNNNNNNNNNNNNNNNNNNNNNNNNNNNNNNNNNNNNNNNNNNNNNNNNNNNNNNNNNNNNNNNNNNNNNNNNNNNNNNNNNNNNNNNNNNNNNNNNNNNNNNNNNNNNNNNNNNNNNNNNNNNNNNNNNNNNNNNNNNNNNNNNNNNNNNNNNNNNNNNNNNNNNNNNNNNNNNNNNNNNNNNNNNNNNNNNNNNNNNNNNNNNNNNNNNNNNNNNNNNNNNNNNNNNNNNNNNNNNNNNNNNNNNNNNNNNNNNNNNNNNNNNNNNNNNNNNNNNNNNNNNNNNNNNNNNNNNNNNNNNNNNNNNNNNNNNNNNNNNNNNNNNNNNNNNNNNNNNNNNNNNNNNNNNNNNNNNNNNNNNNNNNNNNNNNNNNNNNNNNNNNNNNNNNNNNNNNNNNNNNNNNNNNNNNNNNNNNNNNNNNNNNNNNNNNNNNNNNNNNNNNNNNNNNNNNNNNNNNNNNNNNNNNNNNUUUCACAUUCUUGUCGAUUACGUUAUCGUUUUGAUUGAUCCGAAAGUUUCUUGUGAUUGUGUGACUCGAUCUGUUGUUAGAAUCAUAGAUCAGGAUUUGAUUAUCUCAUUUCAUCAUCCGUUGAAUCUGAUCUGUUAUUGUUUCAAUUUCGAAAGUGAUAGAAUUCAAAUCGUCGCGUGUUGCUCAAGUAUCUUCAUUUGCCGCUUUGUUUGAAUACUUUGUUUCCUUAUUUGAAUCUUGAGUUCUGAAUUCUUUUGAACUACUUACUGGUUUAAGUUUUUCGUGUAUCAGGAAGCAAUGGGGUCUUAGGAGGAUGAUGAAACCUUUGUGCGAAGGAAUAAGUUGUUGCAAGAAGCAAUCACCAAACAAGUGAUGGAAGCGAUGGUGAAGUUGCUGGAAGAGAAGUAUGAUCAGAGACCGAAUGAUGGGCAAGGACAAGCAUCUGGCCAGAGACGUGAGCAAAGAAGAAACAGACAAGGUCAGCGUGAGCAUGCUGGAUCAGAAGAGACUGAUAACUUCUAUGAGAGAGGUAGCCAUAGCUCUGGUUCAAGACAUAGCAGUAGAAGAUCUCGACAUGAUCAUGAGGGCCGAAGGCAUAGAUGCAAUGAGCUAUCAGGAUUAAAGCUUAAGAUCCCUCCUUUCCAUGGUAAAGCUGAUCCAGAUGCCUAUCUUGAGUGGGAGAAGAAGAUCGAACUCGUUUUCAACUGUCAGCAUUACUCAGAGACUAAGAAGAUUCAAUUAGCUGCUACCGAGUUCAAUGAUUAUGCAUUGAGCUGGUGGGAUCAGUUGGUUACAAACAAGAGGCGCAAUGGUGAAUUCCCCAUUGAAACAUGGGCAGAGAUGAAAGCUGUGAUGUGCAAGAGGUUUGUACCAAGUCAUUAUCACCGUGAUCUUCAUCAAAAGCUGAGACUGCUCACACAAGGAACAAAGUCUGUAGAGGAAUACUUUCAAGAGAUGGAGUUGCUUAUGCUAAGAGCUUGUGUAUCUGAGGACAGUGAAGCUACUAUGGCACGAUUUCUUGGUGGACUCAACCGUGAGAUAAAAGAUAGAGUGGAGAUGCAACACUACCUGGAGAUAUAGGAGAUGCUACACAAAGCUAUCUUGGUGGAGCAGCAAGUUAAGAGAAGAAGUUAUGCGCGUGGCAGCUAUGGUUCCAGUAGAUACCAGACCUCUAAGGAAGAUAAACCGAGCUAUCAAAAGGAGAGCAAGCCACAGCCAAAAGAAGAAUCCAGGUCUAGUAGCAUCUACAACAAAGAUAAGGGUAAAGUGGAAGCUACAAGCUCGUGUGCAAGAGAUGUGAAGUGUUUUAAGUGCCAAGGACGUGGGCACUAUGCUAAUGAGUGCACCAACAAACGUGUGAUGAUCCUUCAUGCCAAUGGAGAAUACGAAUCUGCUGAUGAGGAGACAGAGGCCGAAGAAGAUCACAGUUCAGAAGAGGAGUAUGUUGCCAACCCGGUUGCUGGAAGGUUGCUAGUUGCUAGAAGAACCUUGAGUCUUCAAAGCAAGACCGAAGAGAUGGAGCAAAGAGAGAAUCUCUUCUAUACUAGAUGUCUAGUGCAAGGAAAGGUCUGUAGUCUUAUUGUGGAUGGAGGCAGUUGUGUCAACGUUGCGAGUGAGACUAUGGUUAAAAAGUUGGGUUUGAGGGUCCAGAAGCAUCCUAAACCAUAUAGGCUCCAAUGGCUCAAUGAAGAGGGCGAGAUGAGAGUAUCUACUCAGGUUAUGGUUCCCUUAGCCAUUGGUAAAUAUGAAGAUGAGAUUCUUUGUGAUGUGUUGCCUAUGGAAGCUGGACACAUUCUCCUUGGAAGGCCGUGGCAAUCAGAUAGACGUGUGAUACAUGAUGGGUAUGCCAAGAAGCACACUUUUGAGUUUAAAGGGAGAAAGACAGUUCUUGUGCCUAUGACUCCUAAGGAAGUUCAGGUUGAUCAGCUCCAGCUACAAAAGAAGAAAGAGAUUGAUCUUCCCGCUGAAUCAACAAAGCAACUAAACUUCUAUGCUAAGUCUGGUGAUGUUAAAAGAUCUCUCUGCUCUAACCUUCCUAUUCUUUUGUUUAUCUAUAAGGAAUCACUCUUGACUACUACUAAUAUUGCACCGGAGUAUCCGAGUGAACUUGUUACUCUUUUACAGGAAUAUCAAGAUGUUUUUCCAGAAGAUAGUCCCAAUGGACUACCACCAGUGCGAGGGAUUGAGCACCAAAUUGAUUUUGUGCCCGGUUCUACACUUCCCAAUAGGCCAGCAUACAGAACCAAUCCGGUGGAGACCAAAGAACUACAAAGGCAAGUGGAGGAACUGAUGGAGAAAGGACAUAUCCGAGAGAGCAUGAGUCCUUGUGCUGUUCCAGUACUGCUUGUGCCAAAGAAAGAUGGAAGCUGGCGCAUGUGUGUUGAUUGCAGAGCCAUCAACAAUAUAACAGUGAAGUAUCGCCAUCCUCUUCCUAGAUUAGAUGAUAUGCUUGAUGAAUUACAUGGUUCAUGCAUCUUUUCUAAGAUAGAUUUAAAGAGUGGAUACCAUCAGAUUAGGAUGAAAGAAGGAGAUGAGUGGAAAACUGCCUUUAAGACUAAGCAUGGGUUAUAUGAGUGGUUAGUUAUGCCCUUUGGAUUGACUAAUGCACCUAGUACUUUCAUGAGAUUGAUGAACCAUGUGCUUAGAUCCUUUAUAGGUUUGUUUGUGGUAGUCUAUUUUGAUGAUAUCCUAAUCUACAGUCAGAGUCUAGAGGAGCAUAUAGAUCAUCUUAAGACUGUUCUUGAUGUGUUGAGGAAAGAAAGACUUUAUGCAAAUCUUAAGAAAUGUACAUUCUGCACAGAUAACUUGGUCUUUUUAGGCUUUAUUGUGGGUGCAGAUGGGGUUAAAGUUGAUCCGGAGAAAGUAAGAGCUAUACAAGAAUGGCCAAUUCCUAAGACAGUGAGUGAAGUGAGGAGCUUCCAUGGACUUGCUGGCUUCUAUAGGCGCUUUGUGAAAGACUUCAGCACCAUAGCAUCUCCUUUGACUGAAGUAAUCAAGAAAGAAGUCGGAUUCAAGUGGGGAGAAGCGCAAUAACUUGCUUUCCAAUGCCUUAAAGAGAAGCUUACUCAUGCCCCUCUUCUUAUACUUCCUGAUUUUAAUAAAACUUUCGAAAUAGAAUGUGAUGCUUCAGGAAUUGGAAUUGGUGCUGUAUUGAUGCAAGAGAAGAGACCCAUUGCAUACUUCAGUGAGAAGCUUGGAGGAGCUACCCUCAACUAUGCAACUUAUGAUAAAGAACUAUAUGCCUUGGUGAGAGCCUUGCAGACUUGGCAACACUAUCUCUGGCCUAAAGAGUUCGUCAUACACACAGAUCAUGAGUCUCUCAAAUACCUCAAAGGACAGCACAAACUCAGCAAGAGACACACAAGGUGGGUUGAGUUCAUUGAGACAUUUCCUUAUGUCAUCAAGUAUAAACAAGGUAAGGAAAACAUAGUUGCUGAUGCACUAUCCAGAAGGUAUGUUCUCUUGAACACUCUUGAUGCUAAGCUAUUAGGAUUUGAGCAGAUUAAAGGAAUGUAUGAGAAUGAUCCUGAUUUUAAAGAGGCUUACAACUCUUGUGAGAAAUUUGCUGUGGGACACUACUUUAGACAUGAUGGUUUUCUUUUCUAUGAUAAUCGAUUGUGUGUGCCUAACUGUUCUUUGAGAGACUUGUUUGUUAGGGAAUCUCAUGGAGGAAGUCUCAUGGGUCACUUUGGUAUUGCAAAGACUCUUAAAACUUUGCAGGAUCACUUCUUUUGGCCUCGGAUGAAAAGAGAUGUGGAGAAACUAUGUGAGAGAUGUGCAACUUGCAAGCAAGCCAAGUCUAAGGUUCAGUCUCACGGUUUGUAUACUCCUCUCCCUAUACCUUAUCAUCCUUGGAAUGACAUAUAUAUGGAUUUCAUUGUUGGCUUGCCUAGAACUAGGACUGGAAAGGAUUCUAUCUUUGUGGUUGUGGAUAGGUUCUCAAAGAUGGCACAUUUCAUAGCUUGUCACAAAACUGAUGAUGCAUUGCAUAUUGCUAACUUGUUCUUUAAAGAGAUUGUGCGCAUACAUGGCAUGCCUAAGACUAUUGUUUCUGAUAGAGAUACUAAGUUUCUUAGUUAUUUUUGGAAGACUCUUUGGUCUAAGUUAGGUACUAAACUCUUGUUUUCUACUACUUGUCACCCACAAACUGAUGGACAAACUAAAGUAGUUAAUAGGACUCUUGGAACACUCUUGCGUGCAUUCAUAAAGAAAAACAUGAAAUCAUGGGAAGACUAUUUGCCUCAUUGUGAAUUUGCAUACAAUCAUGCUGUGCAUUCUACUUCUAAGUUUUCUCCUUUUGAGAUUGUUUAUGGGUUCAAUCCCAACUCUCCUUUGGAUUUAAUCCCUUUACCUGAGUGUGAAAGGGUCAGCGUUGAUGGCAAAAAGAAGGCAGAGAUGGUGAAACAACUCCACGAGCAGGCUAGGCUCAACAUUGAGGCAACAACCAAACAGUAUGUUAAGCAUGCUAACAAAGGAAGGCGUGAGAUGGUCUUUGAAGUGGGUGAUCAGGUCUGGAUUCACCUAAGGAAAGAGAGGUUUCCCAAUGAAAGGAAGUCCAAGCUGAUGCCGCGGAUUGAUGGACCUUUUGAGGUCAUAAGGAAGAUCAGCAACAAUGCCUACAAACUGGAUUUGCAAGGUAAGUAUGAUGUGAGUAAUAGCUUCAAUGUUACUGACUUGAUCCCUUUUAUUGCAGAUGAGCCAGAUUUGAGGACAAAUCCUUUUCAAGUGAGAGGGGAUGGGAAACUGAUAUGAUCAUGGACCAGCUAGUUGAUAAAGAUGAAGAAGGAGAGACUGAAGAUACACUAGCUGAAGAGGAAGCUGUCCUAGCCAUUCCCACAGGUCCUAUAACUCGUGCAAUGACAAGGAGACUCAAGGAAGCUGUUGGAAACAUACUGAAGAUCUCUAAGGAGCAAGAAGACUGUCUUGGUAGAAGCUUGAGCCACCAAGACACAUUCAUCACCAUUCAUGUGAUCUUACCAUCAAGUCAUACUGAAGAUCUCUAAGGAGCAAGAAGACUAUCUUGGUAGAAGCUUGAGCCACCAAUACACACUCAUCACCAUUCAUGUGAUCUUACCAUCAAGCUGAUCAUCAUCUAGGCAAGUGGCUUGGUAUACUCUUUUUCCCUUGAUUAGUUUUGUCCCACUGGGUUUUCUAAUCAAGGUUUUUAAUGAGGUAUCAAGUUCACUUACACAUUCCUAGAUGAUGUAUCUUGGAUGCAACUCGGCCUAAGGCAUCUUGGACCGACUUCAUCAUCUAUCUUAUAUUAUGUUUUAGUCUAAGUGUUGUGUUAUUACUUUGAAACCGUGUGGAGCCUUUUCCUUUAUGUUUUCUUAUGUUUUCGAGACCUUGUGCAUGUACAAAGAUCUCUCUAUUUAAGUGUAUCACAAACCCUCAUUCUAAUCUAAGUUAUCUUUUGUUUAAACCUUGUGUUUUCUUCUCCCUUGCUUUCACGAGUUAAGAGAGUGUCUGGUGUGUAGUAUCCAGUCUGUUGGUGUGUAAUAUCCAACGCCCAAGGGCUUUAGAAAGGUGUGUCAUAUCCGAUCUAAGCCUAGGAGUAUCAAGGAGCCUUUCCGCAGCCUCUUGUGUCACCAUUCGAUCCACAGCCUUGAUAAACUUGAGUCUUUGAUUCGUUUAUGCAAGGAUCUAUCCAAACCAUCCAGAGAAGGGUCCUAGGAUCUCAUUAAGUGGUAUCAGAGCACUCUGGAAGGGGAGUUUCGAUUUCUCUUUUGAUUGUUCAUAAGAUCUACUCUUUGUCGAUUCAUAUUUUUUGAUCAAUCGGUUCUUGUGUGUUUAUUCUCACUUGAUCUGCUUGUUUCAUUAUCAGGAUUGCUAGAUCUGAUUGUUUUGUGUCUCAUAUUGAUAGAUCUAAGAAUUUCGAUCAAGUUUUAAACAAAAAAACCUUUCACAUUCUUGUCGAUUACGUUAUCAUUUUGCUUGAUCCGAAAGUUUCUUGUAAUAUUGUGACUCGAUCUGUUGUUAGAAUCAUAGAUCAGGAUUUGACUAUCUCAUUUCAUCAUCCGUUGAAUCUGAUCUGUUAUUGUUUCAAUUUCGAAAGUGAUAGAAUUCAAAUCGUCGCGUGUUGCUCAAGUAUCUUCAUUUGCCGCUUUGUUUGAAUACUUUGUUUCCUUAUUUGAAUCUUGAGUUCUGAAUUCUCUUGAACUACUUACUGGUUUAAGUUUUUCGUGUAUCAGGAAGCAAUGGGGUCUUAGGAGGAUGAUGAAACCUUUGUGCGAAGGAAUAAGUUGUUGCAAGAAGCAAUCACCAAACAAGUGAUGGAAGCGAUGGUGAAGUUGCUGGAAGAGAAGUAUGAUCAGAGACCGAAUGAUGGGCAAGGACAAGCAUCUGGCCAGAGACGUGAGCAAAGAAGAAACAGACAAGGUCAGCGUGAGCAUGCUGGAUCAGAAGAGACUGAUAACUUCUAUGAGAGAGGUAGCCAUAGCUCUGGUUCAAGACAUAGCAGUAGAAGAUCUCGACAUGAUCAUGAGGGCCGAAGGCAUAGAUGCAAUGAGCUAUCAGGAUUAAAGCUUAAGAUCCCUCCUUUCCAUGGUAAAGCUGAUCCAGAUGCCUAUCUUGAGUGGGAGAAGAAGAUCGAACUCGUUUUCAACUGUCAGCAUUACUCAGAGACUAAGAAGAUUCAAUUAGCUGCUACCGAGUUCAAUGAUUAUGCAUUGAGCUGGUGGGAUCAGUUGGUUACAAACAAGAGGCGCAAUGGUGAAUUCCCCAUUGAAACAUGGGCAGAGAUGAAAGCUGUGAUGUGCAAGAGGUUUGUACCAAGUCAUUAUCACCGUGAUCUUCAUCAAAAGCUGAGACUGCUCACACAAGGAACAAAGUCUGUAGAGGAAUACUUUCAAGAGAUGGAGUUGCUUAUGCUAAGAGCUUGUGUAUCUGAGGACAGUGAAGCUACUAUGGCACGAUUUCUUGGUGGACUCAACCGUGAGAUAAAAGAUAGAGUGGAGAUGCAACACUACCUGGAGAUAUAGGAGAUGCUACACAAAGCUAUCUUGGUGGAGCAGCAAGUUAAGAGAAGAAGUUAUGCGCGUGGCAGCUAUGGUUCCAGUAGAUACCAGACCUCUAAGGAAGAUAAACCGAGCUAUCAAAAGGAGAGCAAGCCACAGCCAAAAGAAGAAUCCAGGUCUAGUAGCAUCUACAACAAAGAUAAGGGUAAAGUGGAAGCUACAAGCUCGUGUGCAAGAGAUGUGAAGUGUUUUAAGUGCCAAGGACGUGGGCACUAUGCUAAUGAGUGCACCAACAAACGUGUGAUGAUCCUUCAUGCCAAUGGAGAAUACGAAUCUGCUGAUGAGGAGACAGAGGCCGAAGAAGAUCACAGUUCAGAAGAGGAGUAUGUUGCCAACCCGGUUGCUGGAAGGUUGCUAGUUGCUAGAAGAACCUUGAGUCUUCAAAGCAAGACCGAAGAGAUGGAGCAAAGAGAGAAUCUCUUCUAUACUAGAUGUCUAGUGCAAGGAAAGGUCUGUAGUCUUAUUGUGGAUGGAGGCAGUUGUGUCAACGUUGCGAGUGAGACUAUGGUUAAAAAGUUGGGUUUGAGGGUCCAGAAGCAUCCUAAACCAUAUAGGCUCCAAUGGCUCAAUGAAGAGGGCGAGAUGAGAGUAUCUACUCAGGUUAUGGUUCCCUUAGCCAUUGGUAAAUAUGAAGAUGAGAUUCUUUGUGAUGUGUUGCCUAUGGAAGCUGGACACAUUCUCCUUGGAAGGCCGUGGCAAUCAGAUAGACGUGUGAUACAUGAUGGGUAUGCCAAGAAGCACACUUUUGAGUUUAAAGGGAGAAAGACAGUUCUUGUGCCUAUGACUCCUAAGGAAGUUCAGGUUGAUCAGCUCCAGCUACAAAAGAAGAAAGAGAUUGAUCUUCCCGCUGAAUCAACAAAGCAACUAAACUUCUAUGCUAAGUCUGGUGAUGUUAAAAGAUCUCUCUGCUCUAACCUUCCUAUUCUUUUGUUUAUCUAUAAGGAAUCACUCUUGACUACUACUAAUAUUGCACCGGAGUAUCCGAGUGAACUUGUUACUCUUUUACAGGAAUAUCAAGAUGUUUUUCCAGAAGAUAGUCCCAAUGGACUACCACCAGUGCGAGGGAUUGAGCACCAAAUUGAUUUUGUGCCCGGUUCUACACUUCCCAAUAGGCCAGCAUACAGAACCAAUCCGGUGGAGACCAAAGAACUACAAAGGCAAGUGGAGGAACUGAUGGAGAAAGGACAUAUCCGAGAGAGCAUGAGUCCUUGUGCUGUUCCAGUACUGCUUGUGCCAAAGAAAGAUGGAAGCUGGCGCAUGUGUGUUGAUUGCAGAGCCAUCAACAAUAUAACAGUGAAGUAUCGCCAUCCUCUUCCUAGAUUAGAUGAUAUGCUUGAUGAAUUACAUGGUUCAUGCAUCUUUUCUAAGAUAGAUUUAAAGAGUGGAUACCAUCAGAUUAGGAUGAAAGAAGGAGAUGAGUGGAAAACUGCCUUUAAGACUAAGCAUGGGUUAUAUGAGUGGUUAGUUAUGCCCUUUGGAUUGACUAAUGCACCUAGUACUUUCAUGAGAUUGAUGAACCAUGUGCUUAGAUCCUUUAUAGGUUUGUUUGUGGUAGUCUAUUUUGAUGAUAUCCUAAUCUACAGUCAGAGUCUAGAGGAGCAUAUAGAUCAUCUUAAGACUGUUCUUGAUGUGUUGAGGAAAGAAAGACUUUAUGCAAAUCUUAAGAAAUGUACAUUCUGCACAGAUAACUUGGUCUUUUUAGGCUUUAUUGUGGGUGCAGAUGGGGUUAAAGUUGAUCCGGAGAAAGUAAGAGCUAUACAAGAAUGGCCAAUUCCUAAGACAGUGAGUGAAGUGAGGAGCUUCCAUGGACUUGCUGGCUUCUAUAGGCGCUUUGUGAAAGACUUCAGCACCAUAGCAUCUCCUUUGACUGAAGUAAUCAAGAAAGAAGUCGGAUUCAAGUGGGGAGAAGCGCAAUAACUUGCUUUCCAAUGCCUUAAAGAGAAGCUUACUCAUGCCCCUCUUCUUAUACUUCCUGAUUUUAAUAAAACUUUCGAAAUAGAAUGUGAUGCUUCAGGAAUUGGAAUUGGUGCUGUAUUGAUGCAAGAGAAGAGACCCAUUGCAUACUUCAGUGAGAAGCUUGGAGGAGCUACCCUCAACUAUGCAACUUAUGAUAAAGAACUAUAUGCCUUGGUGAGAGCCUUGCAGACUUGGCAACACUAUCUCUGGCCUAAAGAGUUCGUCAUACACACAGAUCAUGAGUCUCUCAAAUACCUCAAAGGACAGCACAAACUCAGCAAGAGACACACAAGGUGGGUUGAGUUCAUUGAGACAUUUCCUUAUGUCAUCAAGUAUAAACAAGGUAAGGAAAACAUAGUUGCUGAUGCACUAUCCAGAAGGUAUGUUCUCUUGAACACUCUUGAUGCUAAGCUAUUAGGAUUUGAGCAGAUUAAAGGAAUGUAUGAGAAUGAUCCUGAUUUUAAAGAGGCUUACAACUCUUGUGAGAAAUUUGCUGUGGGACACUACUUUAGACAUGAUGGUUUUCUUUUCUAUGAUAAUCGAUUGUGUGUGCCUAACUGUUCUUUGAGAGACUUGUUUGUUAGGGAAUCUCAUGGAGGAAGUCUCAUGGGUCACUUUGGUAUUGCAAAGACUCUUAAAACUUUGCAGGAUCACUUCUUUUGGCCUCGGAUGAAAAGAGAUGUGGAGAAACUAUGUGAGAGAUGUGCAACUUGCAAGCAAGCCAAGUCUAAGGUUCAGUCUCACGGUUUGUAUACUCCUCUCCCUAUACCUUAUCAUCCUUGGAAUGACAUAUAUAUGGAUUUCAUUGUUGGCUUGCCUAGAACUAGGACUGGAAAGGAUUCUAUCUUUGUGGUUGUGGAUAGGUUCUCAAAGAUGGCACAUUUCAUAGCUUGUCACAAAACUGAUGAUGCAUUGCAUAUUGCUAACUUGUUCUUUAAAGAGAUUGUGCGCAUACAUGGCAUGCCUAAGACUAUUGUUUCUGAUAGAGAUACUAAGUUUCUUAGUUAUUUUUGGAAGACUCUUUGGUCUAAGUUAGGUACUAAACUCUUGUUUUCUACUACUUGUCACCCACAAACUGAUGGACAAACUAAAGUAGUUAAUAGGACUCUUGGAACACUCUUGCGUGCAUUCAUAAAGAAAAACAUGAAAUCAUGGGAAGACUAUUUGCCUCAUUGUGAAUUUGCAUACAAUCAUGCUGUGCAUUCUACUUCUAAGUUUUCUCCUUUUGAGAUUGUUUAUGGGUUCAAUCCCAACUCUCCUUUGGAUUUAAUCCCUUUACCUGAGUGUGAAAGGGUCAGCGUUGAUGGCAAAAAGAAGGCAGAGAUGGUGAAACAACUCCACGAGCAGGCUAGGCUCAACAUUGAGGCAACAACCAAACAGUAUGUUAAGCAUGCUAACAAAGGAAGGCGUGAGAUGGUCUUUGAAGUGGGUGAUCAGGUCUGGAUUCACCUAAGGAAAGAGAGGUUUCCCAAUGAAAGGAAGUCCAAGCUGAUGCCGCGGAUUGAUGGACCUUUUAAGGUCAUAAGGAAGAUCAGCAACAAUGCCUACAAACUGGAUUUGCAAGGUAAGUAUGAUGUGAGUAAUAGCUUCAAUGUUACUGACUUGAUCCCUUUUAUUGCAGAUGAGCCAGAUUUGAGGACAAAUCCUUUUCAAGUGGGAGGGGAUGAUAUGAUCAUGGACCAGCUAGUUGAUAAAGAUGAAGAAGGAGAGACUGAAGAUACACUAGCUGAAGAGGAAGCUGUCCUAGCCAUUCCCACAGGUCCUAUCACUCGUGCAAUGACAAGGAGACUCAAGGAAGCCGUUGGAAACAUACUGAAGAUCUCUAAGAAGCAAGAAGACUGUCUUGGUAGAAGCUUGAGCCACCAAGACACACUCAUNNNNNNNNNNNNNNNNNNNNNNNNNNNNNNNNNNNNNNNNNNNNNNNNNNNNNNNNNNNNNNNNNNNNNNNNNNNNNNNNNNNNNNNNNNNNNNNNNNNNNNNNNNNNNNNNNNNNNNNNNNNNNNNNNNNNNNNNNNNNNNNNNNNNNNNNNNNNNNNNNNNNNNNNNNNNNNNNNNNNNNNNNNNNNNNNNNNNNNNNNNNNNNNNNNNNNNNNNNNNNNNNNNNNNNNNNNNNNNNNNNNNNNNNNNNNNNNNNNNNNNNNNNNNNNNNNNNNNNNNNNNNNNNNNNNNNNNNNNNNNNNNNNNNNNNNNNNNNNNNNNNNNNNNNNNNNNNNNNNNNNNNNNNNNNNNNNNNNNNNNNNNNNNNNNNNNNNNNNNNNNNNNNNNNNNNNNNNNNNNNNNNNNNNNNNNNNNNNNNNNNNNNNNNNNNNNNNNNNNNNNNNNNNNNNNNNNNNNNNNNNNNNNNNNNNNNNNNNNNNNNNNNNNNNNNNNNNNNNNNNNNAAGAGUGUCUAUCUCGGUGUGUCAUAUCCGAUCUAGUCACUUAGGAGUAUCAAGGAGCCUUUCCGCAGCCUCUUGUGUCACCAUUCGAUCCACAACCUUGUAGAGCUUGAGUCUUUGAUUCGUUCUAGCAAGGAUCUAUCCCAUUCUAUCCAGAGAAGCAAUCUAGGGACGUAUUAUGUGGUAUCAGAGCAUCUCUGGUUAGGGAAGUACUCGUUUCUCUUUUUGUUUCGAUUUAACCUGUUCAUCUUCUUGAUCAGUUUUUAGAUCGAUCAGUUUUGUUUCAACUGAUCUGUUCUUUGUUUCGCAAUAUCCAUUGAUUGAUCUGAGAUCCGUGGUCGUUUGAGUGUGUGAUCUAAUCAUUUUGUGUCGAUCUAAUUGUUAAGAGUUUGAACUUGAUAGAUCUAGGUUUCGCGAGUUUAGAUCCGAUUGUUAUCGAUUCAUAUUCUAGAUCUGAUCUUUAGUUUGAAUCUAAUUGAUCGUGUGAUCUGUUUUAAAUCAUCUUUAAACAUCUAGAUCUACUUGUGUGUCGUUGAAAUCUGAUUAACAAACCUACCCUGAUCGCGUUUCUAUUGUGAUUUACUUGUUGUCGAUUUAAAUUCUUGUUACUUGAUAAUCAAGUUUUCUUUUACCGCCAGUUUAUUUCAGUUUAAAAUCUCUUGAUCAUCUACUGAUUACGAUCAGUUUAUUGGAACUAUUUACUGGUUGAGUGUUGUUAUUGAUUCUAGGUACCAAUGGGGAGAGAAUCAGAAGAAGAAGCCGAGCUAGUAAGGAAGAACAAGAUGCUGAGAGAUCAAAUGACCGAGCAAAUGAAUCAGACCAUGAUCUCUACUAUGGCUGAUAUGCUUAAGGCUAGCAUGAAGGAAUUACGUGAAGAGAUGAGACAAGAGUUGAGGCAAGCUACUGGCCAGGGUCAUAGCAAUGAGUCUAGAAGGAACCGGCCUACUCCAGUACGGCAAGAGCAUGCGGGUUCACAAGAGACCGACAACUACUACUCGCGCAAUAGAACUGAGCACAACCCAACUGAGCGCAGUAGUUCUUCUUCUGAACUGAGCAGAGGAAGAUCAAGGCGUGAACAUGAUGGAAGGGGGUCACGCAAAGACAAGCUUUCAGGACUUAAGCUUAAGAUUCCACCCUUCCAUGGCAAGGUGGAUCCAGAUGCCUACUUGGAAUGGGAAAAGAAGAUCGAGCUUGUCUUCAAUUGCCAACACUACUCUAAUGCCCAAAGGAUCAAGAUUGCAGCAACUGAAUUCUAUGAUUAUGCGUUGAGUUGGUGGGAUCAGCUUGUAACUACUAGACGGCUUAACCAAGAGAAUCCGGUUGAUUCAUGGCACGAGAUGAAGUCACUCAUGCGCAAACGGUUUGUUCCAAGCCAUUAUCACCGUGACCUACAUCAAAAGCUACGGAGACUUACCCAAGGAACACGAACUGUUGAAGAAUACUAUCAAGACAUGGAGUUGCUGAUGUUGAGAGCUAGUAUCUUGGAGGAUAGAGAAGCUACUAUGGCAAGGUUUCUUGGAGGACUUAACCGCGAGAUACAAGACAAUGUGGAGAUGCAACACUAUGUGGAAAUAGAAGAGAUGUUGCACAAAGCUAUUCUAGUGGAGCAGCAGCUCAAGAGGAAGGGUAACUCACGCAGCUAUGGAUCGUCUAAGUUCCACCACUCUAAAGAAGAGAAAACAUCCUAUCUGAAGGAUAGCAAGCCUCAGCAGAAAGAAGAGACUAAGCCGAGCAGCAUAUACAGCAAAGACAAAGGCAAAGCUGAAAUUACUAGUUCAAGAACUAGAGAUGUUAAGUGCUUCAAAUGUCAAGGGCGUGGGCAUUAUGCUAAUGAGUGCACCAACAAAAAGGUUAUGAUUCUUCUUGAGAAUGGAGAGUAUGAAUCAGAAGAAGAAAAGUUUGAUUCUGAUCAUGAGAAGUCUGAAGAAGAAAGUGAAGUAGAACCCGUGAAAGGAAGGUUGUUGGUAACAAGAAGGCUCUUGAACUUGCAAGCCAAGAAUGGAGAGCUUGAGCAGCGAGAGAAUCUAUUCUACACAAGGUGUAUGGUUCAGGGAAAGGUGUGCAGUCUCAUUAUUGAUGGAGGAAGUUGUGUCAAUGUAGCUAGUAAGACUAUGGUGAAGAAAUUGGGUUUGAAGAUUCAGAAACACCCAAGACCCUACAGAUUGCAGUGGCUCAAUGAAGAGGGCGAGAUGAAAGUUUCUACUCAAGUACUGGUUCCUAUAGCCAUUGGUAGAUAUGAAGAUGAAGUCUUGUGUGAUGUGUUGCCAAUGGAAGCCAGUCAUAUACUCCUUGGAAGACCCUGGCAGUAUGAUAGACGCGUGAAUCAUGAUGGCUUCACCAACAAACAUUCUUUUGAAUUCAACGGAAAGAAGACUGUGCUGGUGCCUUUGUCUCCUAAAGAGGUUCAUGAAGAUCAAAUCCAGCUUCAGAAAAAGAAAGCAAAAGAGAUUGAUCUCAAACCUGAUCAUGACAAGCAUCACAGCCUCUAUGCCAAACAGGGAGAUAUCAAAAGAAUUCUCUACUCUCAAAAUUCUAUUAUCUUGCUUAGGUUUAAAGGGACUCUUCUAACAGUUACUGAUCACACACCGGAUCAUCCGAGUGAACUAGUUUCUUUUUUACAGGAAUAUGCAGAUGUGUUUCCAGAGGAUAGCCCCAUUGGAUUACCUCCAGUGCGUGGGAUUGAGCACCAAAUAGACUUUGUGCCUGGUUCUACACUGCCCAACCGUCCAGCAUACAGGACCAAUCCAGUUGAAACCAAAGAACUGCAAAAACAAGUAGAGGAGCUGAUGGAGAAGGGUCAUAUCCGAGAGAGUUUGAGUCCUUGUGCAGUUCCUAAUGAGAUCCUAGGACCCUUCUCUGGAUGGUUUGGAUAAAUCCUUGCAUAAACGAAUCAAAGACUCAAGUUUAUCAAGGCUGUGGAUCGAAUGGUGACACAAGAGGCUGCGGAAAGGCUCCUUGAUACUCCUAGACUUAGAUCGGAUAUGACACACCUUUCUAAAGCCCUUGGGCGUUGGAUAUUACACACCAACAGACUGGAUACUACACACCAGACACUCUCUUAACUCGUGAAAGCAAGGGAGAAGAAAACACAAGGUUUAAACAAAAGAUAACUUAGAUUAGAAUGAGGGUUUGUGAUACACUUAAAUAGAGAGAUCCUUGUACAUGCACAAGGUCUCGAAAACAUAAGAAAACUUAAAGGAAAAGGCUCCACACGGUUUCAAAGUAAUAACACAACACUUAGACUAAAACAUAAUAUAAGAUAGAUGAUGAAGUCGGUCCAAGAUGCCUUAGGCCGAGUUGCAUCCAAGAUACAUCAACUAGGAAUGUGUAAGUGAACUUGAUACCUCAUUAAAAACCUUGAUUAGAAAACCCAGUGGGACAAAACUAAUCAAGGGAAAAAGAGUAUACCAAGCCACUUGCCUAGAUGAUGAUCAGCUUGAUGGUAAGAUCACAUGAAUGGUCAUGAGUGUGUCUUGGUAGCUCAAGCUUCUACCAAGACAGUCUUCUUGCUUCUUAGAGAUCUUCAGUAUGUUUCCAACGGCUUCUUUGAGUCUCCUUGUCAUUGCACGAGUGAUAGGACCUGUGGGAAUGGCUAGGACAGCUUCCUCUUCAGCUAGUGUAUCUUCAGUCUCUCCUUCUUCAUCUUUAUCAACUAGCUGGUCCAUGAUCAUAUCAUCCCCUCCCACUUGAAAAGGAUUUGUCCUCAAAUCUGGCUCAUCUGCAAUAAAAGGGAUCAAGUCAGUAACAUUGAAGCUAUUACUCACAUCAUACUUACCUUGCAAAUCCAGUUUGUAGGCAUUGUUGCUGAUCUUCCUUAUGACCUUAAAAGGUCCAUCAAUCCGCGGCAUCAGCUUGGACUUCCUUUCAUUGGGAAACCUCUCUUUCCUUAGGUGAAUCCAGACCUGAUCACCCACUUCAAAGACCAUCUCACGCCUUCCUUUGUUAGCAUGCUUAACAUACUGUUUGGUUGUUGCCUCAAUGUUGAGCCUAGCCUGCUCGUGGAGUUGUUUCACCAUCUCUGCCUUCUUUUUGCCAUCAAUGCUGAUCCUUUCACACUCAGGUAAAGGAAUUAAAUCCAAAGGAGAGUUGGGAUUGAACCCAUAAACAAUCUCAAAAGGAGAAAAAUUAGAAGUAGAAUGCACAGCAUGAUUGUAUGCAAAUUCACAAUGAGGCAAAUAGUCUUCCCAUGAUUUCAAGUUUUUCUUUAUGAAUGCACGCAAGAGUGUUCCUAGAGUCCUAUUAACUACUUCAGUUUGUCCAUCAGUUUGUGGAUGACAAGUAGUAGAAAACAAGAGUUUAGUACCUAGCUUAGACCAAAGAGUCUUCCAAAAAUAACUAAGAAACUUAGUAUCUCUAUCAGAAACAAUAGUCUUAGGCAUGCCAUGAAUGCGCACAAUCUCUUUAAAGAACAAGUUAGCAAUAUGCAAUGCAUCAUCAGUUUUGUGACAAGCUAUGAAAUGUGCCAUCUUUGAGAACCUAUCCACAACCACAAAGAUAGAAUCCUUUCCAGUCCUAGUUCUAGGCAAGCCAACAAUGAAAUCCAUAGAUAUGUCAUUCCAAGGAUGAUAAGGUAUAGGGAGAGGAGUAUACAAACCGUGAGACUGAACCUUAGACUUGGCUUGUUUGCAAGUUGCACAUCUCUCACAUAGUUUCUCCACAUCUCUUUUCAUCCGAGGCCAAAAGAAAUGAUCCUGCAAAGUUUUAAGAGUCUUUGCAAUACCAAAGUGACCCAUGAGACUUCCUCCAUGAGAUUCCCUAACAAACAAGUCUCUCAAAGAACAGUUAGGCACACACAAUCGAUUAUCAUAGAAAAGAAAACCAUCAUGCCUAAAGUAGUGUCCCUCAGCAAAUUUCUCACAAGAGUUGUAAGCUUCUUUAAAAUCAGGAUCAUUCUCAUACAUUCCUUUAAUCUGCUCAAAUCCUAAUAGCUUAGCAUCAAGAGUGUUCAAGAGAACAUACCUUCUGGAUAGUGCAUCAGCAACUAUGUUUUCCUUACCUUGUUUAUACUUGAUGACAUAAGGAAAUGUCUCAAUGAACUCAACCCACCUAGCGUGUCUCUUGCUGAGUUUGUGCUGUCCUUUGAGGUAUUUGAGAGACUCAUGAUCUGUGUGUAUGACGAACUCUUUAGGCCAGAGGUAGUGUUGCCAAGUCUGCAAGGCUCUCACCAAGGCAUAUAGUUCUUUAUCAUAAGUUGCAUAGUUGAGGGUAGCUCCUCCAAGCUUCUCACUGAAGUAUGCAAUGGGUCUCUUCUCCUGCAUCAAUACAGCACCAAUUCCAAUUCCUGAAGCAUCACAUUCUAUUUCAAAAGUUUUAUUAAAAUCAGGAAGUAUAAGAAGAGGGGCAUUAGUAAGCUUCUCUUUUAGGCAUUGAAAGGCAAGUUCUUGUGCUUCUCCCCACUUGAAUCCGACUUCUUUCUUGAUUACUUCAGUCAAGGGAGAUGCUAUGGUGCUGAAGUCUUUCACAAAGCGCCUAUAGAAACCAGCAAGUCCAUGGAAGCUCCUCACUUCACUCACUGUCUUAGGAAUUGGCCAUUCUCGUAUAGCUCUUACUUUCUCCGGAUCAACUUUAACUCCAUCUGCACCCACAAUAAAGCCUAAAAAGACCAAGUGAUCCGUUCCAAAAGUACACUUCUUAAGGUUAGCAAAAAGAGAUUCCUUUCUAAGCACAUCAAGAACAGCUCUAAGAUGUUCUAUAUGAUCAUUAAAGCUCUUACUGUAUACAAGGAUGUCAUCAAAGUAUACCACAACAAAUAUGCCAAUGAAUGAUCUAAGAACAUGAUUCAUUAAUCUCAUGAAUGUGCUAGGUGCAUUGGUUAAUCCAAACGGCAUGACUAACCACUCAUAUAGACCAUGUUUAGUUUUGAAUGCAGUUUUCCAUUCAUCUCCUUCUUUCAUCCUAAUCUGAUGGUAUCCACUUUUCAAAUCAAUCUUAGAAAAUAUGCAAGAACCAUGCAAUUCAUCAAGCAUAUCAUCUAAUCUAGGAAUAGGAUGGCGAUACUUUACAGUGAUAUUGUUGAUGGCUCUGCAAUCAACACACAUGCGCCAGCUCCCAUCUUUCUUGGGCACAAGUAGCACUGGAACAGCACAAGGGCUCAUGCUCUCUCGGAUAUGCCCUUUCUCCAUCAGUUCCUCCACUUGCCUUUGUAGUUCUUUGGUCUCCACCGGAUUGGUUCUGUAUGCUGGCCUAUUGGGAAGUGUAGAACCGGGCACAAAAUCAAUUUGGUGCUCAAUCCCUCGUACUGGUGGUAGUCCAUUGGGACUAUCUUCUGGAAAUACAUCUUGAUAUUCCUGUAGAAGAUUGACAAGUUCACUCGGAUACUCCGGUGCAAUGUUAGUAGUAGUCAAGAGGGAUUCCUUAUAGAUAAACAAAAGAAUAGGAAGGUUAGAGCAGAGAGAUCUUUUAACAUCACCAGACUUGGCAUAGAAGUUUAGUUGCUUUGUUGAUUCAGCGGGUAGAUCUAUCUCUUUCUUCUUUUGUAGCUGGAGCUGAUCAACCUGAACUUCCUUAGGAGUCAUAGGCACAAGGACUGUCUUUCUCCCUUUAAACUCAAAGGUGUGCUUGUUGGCAUACCCAUCAUGUAUCACACGUCUAUCUGAUUGCCACGGCCUUCCAAGGAGAAUGUGUCCAGCUUCCAUAGGCAACACAUCACAAAGAAUCUCAUCUUCAUAUUUACCAAUGGCUAAGGGAACCAUAACCUGAGUAGCUACUCUCAUCUCGCCCUCUUCAUUGAGCCAUUGGAGCCUAUAUGGUUUAGGAUGCUUCUGGACCCUCAAACCCAACUUUUUAACCAUAGUCUCACUCGCAACGUUGACACAACUGCCUCCAUCCACAAUAAGACUACAGACCUUUCCUUGCACUAGACAUCUAGUAUAGAAGAGAUUCUCUCUUUGCUCCAUCUCCUCGGUCUUGCUUUGAAGACUCAAGGUUCUUCUAGCAACUAGCAAUCUUCCAGCAACCGGGUUGGCAACAUACUCCUCUUCUGAACUGUGAUCUUCUUCGGCUUCUGUCUCAUCAUCAGCAGAUUCAUAUUCUCCAUUGGCAUGAAGGAUCAUCACACGUUUGUUGGUACAUUCAUUAGCAUAGUGCCCACGCCCUUGGCACUUAAAACACUUCACAUCUCUUGCACGCGAGCUUGUAGCUUCCACUUUACCCUUAUCUUUGUUGUAGAUGCUACUAGACUUGGCUUCUUCUUUUGGCUGUGGCUUGCUCUCCUUUUGAUAGCUCGGUUUAUCUUCCUUAGAGGUCUGGUAUCUAUUGGAACCAUAGCUGCCACGCGCAUGACUUCUUCUCUUAACUUGCUGCUCCACCAAGAUAGCUUUGUGUAGCAUUUCCUCUAUCUCCAAGUAGUGUUGCAUCUCCACUCUAUCUUGUAUCUCACGGUUGAGUCCACCAAGGAACCGUGCCAUGGUAGCUUCACUGUCCUCAGAUACACAAGCUCUUAGCAUAAGCAACUCCAUCUCUUGAAAGUAUUCCUCUACAGACUUUGAUCCUUGUGUGAGCAGUCUCAGCUUUUGAUGAAGAUCACGGUGAUAAUGGCUUGGUACAAACCUCUUACGCAUCACAGCUUUCAUCUCUGCCCAUGUUUCAAUGGGAAAUUCACCAUUGCGCCUCUUGUUUGUAACCAACUGAUCCCACCAGCUCAAUGCAUAGUCAUUGAACUCGGUAGCAGCUACCUGAAUCUUCUUAGUCUCUGAGUAAUGCUGACAGUUGAAAACGAGUUCGAUCUUCUUCUCCCACUCAAGAUAGGCAUCUGGAUCAGCUUUACCAUGGAAAGGAGGAAUCUUAAGCUUUAACCCUGAUAGCUCAUUGCGUCUAUGCCUCCGGCCCUCAUGAUCACGUCGAGAUCUUCUACUGCUACGUCUUGAACCGGAGCUAUGGCUACUUCUCUCAUAGAAGUUAUCAGUCUCUUCUGAUCCAGCAUGCUCACGCUGACCUUGUCUGUUUCUUCUUGGCUCAUGUCUUGAACCAGAUGCUUGUCCUUGCCCAUCAUGCGGUCUCUGAUCAUACUUCUCUUCCAGUAACUUCACCAUCGCUUCCAUCACUUGUUUGGUGAUUGCUUCUUGCAGCAAUCUAUUCCUUCGCACAAAGGUUUCAUCAUCCUCCUCAGACCCCAUUGCUUCCUGAUACACGAAAAACUUGAACCAGUAAGUAGUUCAAAAGAAUUCAGAACUCAAGAUUCAAAUAAGGAAACAAAGUAUUCAAACAAAGCGGCAAAUGAAGAUACUUGAUCAACACGCGACGAUUUGAAUUCAAUUUUUUUCGAAAAUGAAACAAUAACAGAUCAGAUUCAACGGAUGAUGAAAUGAGAUAAUCAAAUCCUGAUCUAUGAUUCUAACAACAGAUCGAGUCACACAAUCACAAGAAACUUUCGGAUCAAUCAAAACGAUAACGUAAUCGACAAGAAUGUGAAAAGGUUUUUGCUCAAAACUUGAUCGAAAUUCUUAGAUCUAUCAGUAUGAGACACGAAACAAUUAGAUCUAGCAAUCCUGAUAAUGAAACAAGCAGAUCAAGUGAGAAUAAACACACAAGAACCGAUUGAUCAAGAAAAAUAUGAAUCGACAAAGAGUAGAUCUUUUAAGAAAUCGCAAAAGAGAAAUCGAAACUCCCCUUCCAGAGUGCUCUGAUACCACUUAAUGAGAUCCUAGGACCCUUCUCUGGAUGGUUUGGAUAAAUCCUUGCAUAAACGAAUCAAAGACUCAAGUUUAUCAAGGCUGUGGAUCGAAUGGUGACACAAGAGGCUGCGGAAAGGCUCCUUGAUACUCCUAGACUUAGAUCGGAUAUGACACACCUUUCUAAAGCCCUUGGGCGUUGGAUAUUACACACCAACAGACUGGAUACUACACACCAGACACUCUCUUAACUCGUGAAAGCAAGGGAGAAGAAAACACAAGGUUUAAACAAAAGAUAACUUAGAUUAGAAUGAGGGUUUGUGAUACACUUAAAUAGAGAGAUCCUUGUACAUGCACAAGGUCUCGAAAACAUAAGAAAACUUAAAGGAAAAGGCUCCACACGGUUUCAAAGUAAUAACACAACACUUAGACUAAAACAUAAUAUAAGAUAGAUGAUGAAGUCGGUCCAAGAUGCCUUAGGCCGAGUUGCAUCCAAGAUACAUCAACUAGGAAUGUGUAAGUGAACUUGAUACCUCAUUAAAAACCUUGAUUAGAAAACCCAGUGGGACAAAACUAAUCAAGGGAAAAAGAGUAUACCAAGCCACUUGCCUAGAUGAUGAUCAGCUUGAUGGUAAGAUCACAUGAAUGGUCAUGAGUGUGUCUUGGUAGCUCAAGCUUCUACCAAGACAGUCUUCUUGCUUCUUAGAGAUCUUCAGUAUGUUUCCAACGGCUUCUUUGAGUCUCCUUGUCAUUGCACGAGUGAUAGGACCUGUGGGAAUGGCUAGGACAGCUUCCUCUUCAGCUAGUGUAUCUUCAGUCUCUCCUUCUUCAUCUUUAUCAACUAGCUGGUCCAUGAUCAUAUCAUCCCCUCCCACUUGAAAAGGAUUUGUCCUCAAAUCUGGCUCAUCUGCAAUAAAAGGGAUCAAGUCAGUAACAUUGAAGCUAUUACUCACAUCAUACUUACCUUGCAAAUCCAGUUUGUAGGCAUUGUUGCUGAUCUUCCUUAUGACCUUAAAAGGUCCAUCAAUCCGCGGCAUCAGCUUGGACUUCCUUUCAUUGGGAAACCUCUCUUUCCUUAGGUGAAUCCAGACCUGAUCACCCACUUCAAAGACCAUCUCACGCCUUCCUUUGUUAGCAUGCUUAACAUACUGUUUGGUUGUUGCCUCAAUGUUGAGCCUAGCCUGCUCGUGGAGUUGUUUCACCAUCUCUGCCUUCUUUUUGCCAUCAAUGCUGAUCCUUUCACACUCAGGUAAAGGAAUUAAAUCCAAAGGAGAGUUGGGAUUGAACCCAUAAACAAUCUCAAAAGGAGAAAACUUAGAAGUAGAAUGCACAGCAUGAUUGUAUGCAAAUUCACAAUGAGGCAAAUAGUCUUCCCAUGAUUUCAAGUUUUUCUUUAUGAAUGCACGCAAGAGUGUUCCUAGAGUCCUAUUAACUACUUCAGUUUGUCCAUCAGUUUGUGGAUGACAAGUAGUAGAAAACAAGAGUUUAGUACCUAGCUUAGACCAAAGAGUCUUCCAAAAAUAACUAAGAAACUUAGUAUCUCUAUCAGAAACAAUAGUCUUAGGCAUGCCAUGAAUGCGCACAAUCUCUUUAAAGAACAAGUUAGCAAUAUGCAAUGCAUCAUCAGUUUUGUGACAAGCUAUGAAAUGUGCCAUCUUUGAGAACCUAUCCACAACCACAAAGAUAGAAUCCUUUCCAGUCCUAGUUCUAGGCAAGCCAACAAUGAAAUCCAUAGAUAUGUCAUUCCAAGGAUGAUAAGGUAUAGGGAGAGGAGUAUACAAACCGUGAGACUGAACCUUAGACUUGGCUUGUUUGCAAGUUGCACAUCUCUCACAUAGUUUCUCCACAUCUCUUUUCAUCCGAGGCCAAAAGAAAUGAUCCUGCAAAGUUUUAAGAGUCUUUGCAAUACCAAAGUGACCCAUGAGACUUCCUCCAUGAGAUUCCCUAACAAACAAGUCUCUCAAAGAACAGUUAGGCACACACAAUCGAUUAUCAUAGAAAAGAAAACCAUCAUGCCUAAAGUAGUGUCCCUCAGCAAAUUUCUCACAAGAGUUGUAAGCUUCUUUAAAAUCAGGAUCAUUCUCAUACAUUCCUUUAAUCUGCUCAAAUCCUAAUAGCUUAGCAUCAAGAGUGUUCAAGAGAACAUACCUUCUGGAUAGUGCAUCAGCAACUAUGUUUUCCUUACCUUGUUUAUACUUGAUGACAUAAGGAAAUGUCUCAAUGAACUCAACCCACCUAGCGUGUCUCUUGCUGAGUUUGUGCUGUCCUUUGAGGUAUUUGAGAGACUCAUGAUCUGUGUGUAUGACGAACUCUUUAGGCCAGAGGUAGUGUUGCCAAGUCUGCAAGGCUCUCACCAAGGCAUAUAGUUCUUUAUCAUAAGUUGCAUAGUUGAGGGUAGCUCCUCCAAGCUUCUCACUGAAGUAUGCAAUGGGUCUCUUCUCCUGCAUCAAUACAGCACCAAUUCCAAUUCCUGAAGCAUCACAUUCUAUUUCAAAAGUUUUAUUAAAAUCAGGAAGUAUAAGAAGAGGGGCAUUAGUAAGCUUCUCUUUUAGGCAUUGAAAGGCAAGUUCUUGUGCUUCUCCCCACUUGAAUCCGACUUCUUUCUUGAUUACUUCAGUCAAGGGAGAUGCUAUGGUGCUGAAGUCUUUCACAAAGCGCCUAUAGAAACCAGCAAGUCCAUGGAAGCUCCUCACUUCACUCACUGUCUUAGGAAUUGGCCAUUCUCGUAUAGCUCUUACUUUCUCCGGAUCAACUUUAACUCCAUCUGCACCCACAAUAAAGCCUAAAAAGACCAAGUGAUCCGUUCCAAAAGUACACUUCUUAAGGUUAGCAAAAAGAGAUUCCUUUCUAAGCACAUCAAGAACAGCUCUAAGAUGUUCUAUAUGAUCAUUAAAGCUCUUACUGUAUACAAGGAUGUCAUCAAAGUAUACCACAACAAAUAUGCCAAUGAAUGAUCUAAGAACAUGAUUCAUUAAUCUCAUGAAUGUGCUAGGUGCAUUGGUUAAUCCAAACGGCAUGACUAACCACUCAUAUAGACCAUGUUUAGUUUUGAAUGCAGUUUUCCAUUCAUCUCCUUCUUUCAUCCUAAUCUGAUGGUAUCCACUUUUCAAAUCAAUCUUAGAAAAUAUGCAAGAACCAUGCAAUUCAUCAAGCAUAUCAUCUAAUCUAGGAAUAGGAUGGCGAUACUUUACAGUGAUAUUGUUGAUGGCUCUGCAAUCAACACACAUGCGCCAGCUCCCAUCUUUCUUGGGCACAAGUAGCACUGGAACAGCACAAGGGCUCAUGCUCUCUCGGAUAUGCCCUUUCUCCAUCAGUUCCUCCACUUGCCUUUGUAGUUCUUUGGUCUCCACCGGAUUGGUUCUGUAUGCUGGCCUAUUGGGAAGUGUAGAACCGGGCACAAAAUCAAUUUGGUGCUCAAUCCCUCGUACUGGUGGUAGUCCAUUGGGACUAUCUUCUGGAAAUACAUCUUGAUAUUCCUGUAGAAGAUUGACAAGUUCACUCGGAUACUCCGGUGCAAUGUUAGUAGUAGUCAAGAGGGAUUCCUUAUAGAUAAACAAAAGAAUAGGAAGGUUAGAGCAGAGAGAUCUUUUAACAUCACCAGACUUGGCAUAGAAGUUUAGUUGCUUUGUUGAUUCAGCGGGUAGAUCUAUCUCUUUCUUCUUUUGUAGCUGGAGCUGAUCAACCUGAACUUCCUUAGGAGUCAUAGGCACAAGGACUGUCUUUCUCCCUUUAAACUCAAAGGUGUGCUUGUUGGCAUACCCAUCAUGUAUCACACGUCUAUCUGAUUGCCACGGCCUUCCAAGGAGAAUGUGUCCAGCUUCCAUAGGCAACACAUCACAAAGAAUCUCAUCUUCAUAUUUACCAAUGGCUAAGGGAACCAUAACCUGAGUAGCUACUCUCAUCUCGCCCUCUUCAUUGAGCCAUUGGAGCCUAUAUGGUUUAGGAUGCUUCUGGACCCUCAAACCCAACUUUUUAACCAUAGUCUCACUCGCAACGUUGACACAACUGCCUCCAUCCACAAUAAGACUACAGACCUUUCCUUGCACUAGACAUCUAGUAUAGAAGAGAUUCUCUCUUUGCUCCAUCUCCUCGGUCUUGCUUUGAAGACUCAAGGUUCUUCUAGCAACUAGCAAUCUUCCAGCAACCGGGUUGGCAACAUACUCCUCUUCUGAACUGUGAUCUUCUUCGGCUUCUGUCUCAUCAUCAGCAGAUUCAUAUUCUCCAUUGGCAUGAAGGAUCAUCACACGUUUGUUGGUACAUUCAUUAGCAUAGUGCCCACGCCCUUGGCACUUAAAACACUUCACAUCUCUUGCACGCGAGCUUGUAGCUUCCACUUUACCCUUAUCUUUGUUGUAGAUGCUACUAGACUUGGCUUCUUCUUUUGGCUGUGGCUUGCUCUCCUUUUGAUAGCUCGGUUUAUCUUCCUUAGAGGUCUGGUAUCUAUUGGAACCAUAGCUGCCACGCGCAUGACUUCUUCUCUUAACUUGCUGCUCCACCAAGAUAGCUUUGUGUAGCAUUUCCUCUAUCUCCAAGUAGUGUUGCAUCUCCACUCUAUCUUGUAUCUCACGGUUGAGUCCACCAAGGAACCGUGCCAUGGUAGCUUCACUGUCCUCAGAUACACAAGCUCUUAGCAUAAGCAACUCCAUCUCUUGAAAGUAUUCCUCUACAGACUUUGAUCCUUGUGUGAGCAGUCUCAGCUUUUGAUGAAGAUCACGGUGAUAAUGGCUUGGUACAAACCUCUUACGCAUCACAGCUUUCAUCUCUGCCCAUGUUUCAAUGGGAAAUUCACCAUUGCGCCUCUUGUUUGUAACCAACUGAUCCCACCAGCUCAAUGCAUAGUCAUUGAACUCGGUAGCAGCUACCUGAAUCUUCUUAGUCUCUGAGUAAUGCUGACAGUUGAAAACGAGUUCGAUCUUCUUCUCCCACUCAAGAUAGGCAUCUGGAUCAGCUUUACCAUGGAAAGGAGGAAUCUUAAGCUUUAACCCUGAUAGCUCAUUGCGUCUAUGCCUCCGGCCCUCAUGAUCACGUCGAGAUCUUCUACUGCUACGUCUUGAACCGGAGCUAUGGCUACUUCUCUCAUAGAAGUUAUCAGUCUCUUCUGAUCCAGCAUGCUCACGCUGACCUUGUCUGUUUCUUCUUGGCUCAUGUCUUGAACCAGAUGCUUGUCCUUGCCCAUCAUGCGGUCUCUGAUCAUACUUCUCUUCCAGUAACUUCACCAUCGCUUCUAUCACUGGUUUGGUGAUUGCUUCUUGCAGCAAUCUAUUCCUUCGCACAAAGGUUUCAUCAUCCUCCUCAGACCCCAUUGCUUCCUGAUACACGAAAAACUUGAACCAGUAAGUAGUUCAAAAGAAUUCAGAACUCAAGAUUCAAAUAAGGAAACAAAGUAUUCAAACAAAGCGGCAAAUGAAGAUACUUGAUCAACACGCGACGAUUUGAAUUCAAUUUUUUUCGAAAAUGGAACAAUAACAGAUCAGAUUCAACGGAUGAUGAAAUGAGAUAAUCAAAUCCUGAUCUAUGAUUCUAACAACAGAUCGAGUCACACAAUCACAAGAAACUUUCGGAUCAAUCAAAACGAUAACGUAAUCGACAAGAAUGUGAAAAGGUUUUUGCUCAAAACUUGAUCGAAAUUCUUAGAUCUAUCAGUAUGAGACACGAAACAAUUAGAUCUAGCAAUCCUGAUAAUGAAACAAGCAGAUCAAGUGAGAAUAAACACACAAGAACCGAUUGAUCAAGAAAAAUAUGAAUCGACAAAGAGUAGAUCUUUUAAGAAAUCGCAAAAGAGAAAUCGAAACUCCCCUUCCAGAGUGCUCUGAUACCACUUAAUGAGAUCCUAGGACCCUUCUCUGGAUGGUUUGGAUAAAUCCUUGCAUAAACGAAUCAAAGACUCAAGUUUAUCAAGGCUGUGGAUCGAAUGGUGACACAAGAGGCUGCGGAAAGGCUCCUUGAUACUCCUAGACUUAGAUCGGAUAUGACACACCUUUCUAAAGCCCUUGGGCGUUGGAUAUUACACACCAACAGACUGGAUACUACACACCAGACACUCUCUUAACUCGUGAAAGCAAGGGAGAAGAAAACACAAGGUUUAAACAAAAGAUAACUUAGAUUAGAAUGAGGGUUUGUGAUACACUUAAAUAGAGAGAUCCUUGUACAUGCACAAGGUCUCGAAAACAUAAGAAAACUUAAAGGAAAAGGCUCCACACGGUUUCAAAAUAAUAACACAACACUUAGACUAAAACAUAAUAUAAGAUAGAUGAUGAAGUCGGUCCAAGAUGCCUUAGGCCGAGUUGCAUCCAAGAUACAUCAACUAGGAAUGUGUAAGUGAACUUGAUACCUUAUUAAAAACCUUGAUUAGAAAACCCAGUGGGACAAAACUAAUCAAGGGAAAAAGAGUAUACCAAGCCACUUGCCUAGAUGAUGAUCAGCUUGAUGGUAAGAUCACAUGAAUGGUCAUGAGUGUGUCUUGGUAGCUCAAGCUUCUACCAAGACAGUCUUCUUGCUUCUUAGAGAUCUUCAGUAUGUUUCCAACGGCUUCUUUGAGUCUCCUUGUCAUUGCACGAGUGAUAGGACCUGUGGGAAUGGCUAGGACAGCUUCCUCUUCAGCUAGUGUAUCUUCAGUCUCUCCUUCUUCAUCUUUAUCAACUAGCUGGUCCAUGAUCAUAUCAGUUCCAGUGCUCCUUGUGCCAAAGAAAGAUGGGAGCUGGCGCAUGUGUGUUGAUUGUAGAGCAAUCAACAACAUAACAGUGAAGUAUCGCCACCCUAUUCCUAGAUUAGAUGAUAUGCUUGAUGAAUUGCAUGGUUCUUGCAUCUUUUCUAAGAUAGACUUGAAAAGUGGAUAUCAUCAGAUUAGGAUGAAAGAAGGAGAUGAGUGGAAAACUGCAUUUAAAACUAAACAUGGCUUGUAUGAAUGGUUAGUUAUGCCAUUUGGAUUAACCAAUGCGCCUAGUACAUUCAUGAGAUUGAUGAAUCAUAUUCUUAGGUCUUUCAUAGGCAUCUUUGUUGUUGUGUACUUUGAUGAUAUCUUAGUUUACAGCAAAUGCUUAGAAGAUCAUAUAGAACAUCUUAGGGCUGUUUUGGAUGUUUUGAGAAAGGAAAAGCUAUAUGCCAAUCUAAAGAAGUGCACUUUUUGCACAGAUAACUUGGUCUUUCUAGGUUUUGUUGUAAGUGCAGAUGGUGUAAAAGUGGAUCAGGAAAAGAUCAAAGCAAUACAAGAGUGGCCGAGUCCAACUACAGUGGGAGAAGUAAGGAGUUUUCAUGGACUGGCAGGUUUUUAUAGGCGUUUUGUGAAGGAUUUCAGCACUCUAGCAGCUCCCCUAACUGAGAUAAUCAAGAAGGAUGUAGGAUUCAAGUGGGGAGGAGCUCAGGAAGCCGCAUUCCAACUCCUUAAAGAGAAGCUUACUCAAUCUCCUCUUCUCAUACUUCCUGAUUUUUCUAAAACAUUUGAAAUAGAAUGUGAUGCCUCAGGAAUUGGAAUUGGUGCUGUGUUGAUGCAGGAUAAAAGACCUAUUGCUUACUUUAGUGAGAAACUCAGUGGAGCUACUCUCAACUAUGCCACUUAUGACAAAGAACUCUACGCCUUGGUGAGAGCUCUACAGACUUGGCAGCACUAUCUCUGGCCAAAGGAGUUUGUCAUUCACACCGACCAUGAGUCUCUCAAGUAUCUUAAAGGACAAAGUAAGCUCAGCAAGAGACAUGCUAGAUGGGUAGAAUUCAUUGAAACCUUCCCGUAUGUGAUCAAAUACAAACAAGGUAAGGAGAAUAUAGUUGCUGAUGCACUAUCCCGAAGGUAUGUCCUCUUAACUACUCUUGAUGCUAAGUUGCUAGGCUUUGAGCAGAUUAAAGAAAUGUAUGAAUCUGAUCCUGACUUUCAAGAAGCUUAUAAAUCAUGUGCUAAGUAUGCUUUAGGACAUUAUUUUAGGCAUGAUGGAUUCUUAUUCUAUGACAAUCGUUUAUGUGUGCCUAAUUGCUCUUUGAGAGAUCUAUUUGUCAGAGAAUCCCAUGGAGGAAGCUUGAUGGGUCAUUUUGGUAUAGCAAAAACCCUUAAAGUUUUGCAGGAUCACUUCUAUUGGCCGCAUAUGAAAAGAGAUGUGGAGAGAAUCUGUGGAAGGUGCACAACUUGCAAGCUUGCAAAGUCUAAAGUUCAACCUCACGGUUUGUAUACUCCUUUGCCUAUUCCUACUCAUCCUUGGAAUGAUAUAUCUAUGGAUUUUGUUAUGGGUUUACCUAGAACUAGGACUGGAAAGGAUUCUAUCUUUGUGGUUGUUGAUAGAUUCUCUAAAAUGGCACAUUUCAUAGCUUGCAAUAAGACUGAUGAUGCAUUACAUGUAGCUAAUUUGUUCUUUAAAGAAGUGGUACGUUUGCAUGGAAUGCCUAGGACUAUAGUUUCAGAUAGAGAUACUAAAUUCCUUAGCUACUUUUGGAAAACAUUGUGGUCUAAACUAGGAACUAAGCUAUUGUUUUCUACUACUUGUCAUCCACAAACUGAUGGGCAGACUGAAGUAGUUAAUAGAACCUUAGGUACUCUCCUGCGUGCAUUCAUCAAAAAGAACUUGAAAUCAUGGGAAGAUUACUUGCCUCAUUGUGAAUUUGCAUACAAUCAUGCUAUGCAUUCUGCUUCUAAGUUUUCUCCUUUUGAAAUUGUUUAUGGGUUCAAUCCCAUCUCACCUUUGGAUCUAAUACCUUUACCUGAGUGUGAAAGGGUUAGUAUGGAUGGGAAAAAGAAAGCUGAGAUGGUUCAGCAAUAAUACCUUUACCUGAGUGUGAAAGGGUUAGUAUGGAUGGGAAAAAGAAAGCUGAGAUAGUUCAGCAGAUUCAUGAGCAAGCUAAGCGCAAUCUAGAAGAGAAAACUAAGCAAUACGCCAAACAAGCCAAUAAGAGAAGGCGUGAGAUGAUCUUUGAAGUUGGAGAUCAAGUAUGGGUUCACUUGAGGAAAGAAAGGUUUCCAAAAGAGAGGAAGUCUAAGCUAAUGCCGAGGAUUGAUGGCCCUUUUGAAGUCACCAAGAGGAUCAAUGACAAUGCCUACAAACUUGAUCUGCAAGGUAAGUACGACAUAAGUGAUAGCUUCAAUGUUACUGACUUGAUCCCUUUUGUUGCAGAUGAGCCAGAUUUGAGGACAAAUCCUUUUCAAGAGGGAGGGGAUGAUGUGAUCAUGGACCAACUAGCUAAUGGAGAUGAUGAGGAUCUGGUUAAGCCGACUGAUGGAGAUGAUCUAGCCUUGCCAAAAGGACCUAUGACUCGAUCAAGAUCAAGGAAGCUCACGCAAGUCAUUGGUGGAUUGGUUAAGAGGUCAUGGAAGCAAGAGGAAUGUCUUGGUAGAAGCUUGAUCAACCAAGACACACUUAUCACCAUUCAAGCUACUUCACCAUCAAGCUGAUCAUCAACUAAGUAAGCAAUCUAUGUGUGCUCUUUUUCCCUAUCUUUGGUUUUGUCCCAAUGGGUUUUCCAAAGAUAGGUUUUUAACGAGGCCAUAGAUUUGCUUCUCAAAUCUCUUAGUUGAUGAUCUCGAUCCAACCUUAUCCCGGAUCAACCUUAUGUUAUAUUAUGUCUUUCAUUUCAUGUUUUCAAACUUGUCUUUUGUUUCUAUUUUCAAGAGAGCGUGUGUCUUUACUCUCUUGAUAGUUUUCGAGAAGCUUGGAGUCUGUUCCAACUUCUCUUAUAUAAGUGUACUUUGAACCCCUUAUCAAUAAUCAAUUAUCUUUUAUCAAAAACCUUUUCUUUGUUCUCUCUACUGCUUGUCCGCGAGUUGUUGAGUGUUCUUGUUGGUGUGUAGUAUCCAACAACCCAAGAGUGUCUAUCUCGGUGUGUCAUAUCCGAUCUAGUCACUUAGGAGUAUCAAGGAGCCUUUCCGCAGCCUCUUGUGUCACCAUUCGAUCCACAACCUUGUAGAGCUUGAGUCUUUGAUUCGUUCUAGCAAGGAUCUAUCCCAUUCUAUCCAGAGAAGCAAUCUAGGGACGUAUUACAAUCAAACCAGGAUGAAUCACUUUGUAAGAAGCUUUAUUUGGAUACAUAAAGUGUUGGAGAAUCACCAGGAAGUUGAAUAAAUCUCAUAGGAGUUGGGAUUAAGAAGUUAUCCCACUUUCUAAUCAGCUGAUUCCAGUUUCCCAGUUUGGGAAUAGGACAGCUUCUCCGUCGUUCCAAUCAAACCAGGAUGAAUCACUUUGUAAGAANNNNNNNNNNNNNNNNNNNNNNNNNNNNNNNNNNNNNNNNNNNNNNNNNNNNNNNNNNNNNNNNNNNNNNNNNNNNNNNNNNNNNNNNNNNNNNNNNNNNNNNNNNNNNNNNNNNNNNNNNNNNNNNNNNNNNNNNNNNNNNNNNNNNNNNNNNNNNNNNNNNNNNNNNNNNNNNNNNNNNNNNNNNNNNNNNNNNNNNNNNNNNNNNNNNNNNNNNNNNNNNNNNNNNNNNNNNNNNNNNNNNNNNNNNNNNNNNNNNNNNNNNNNNNNNNNNNNNNNNNNNNNNNNNNNNNNNNNNNNNNNNNNNNNNNNNNNNNNNNNNNNNNNNNNNNNNNNNNNNNNNNNNNNNNNNNNNNNNNNNNNNNNNNNNNNNNNNNNNNNNNNNNNNNNNNNNNNNNNNNNNNNNNNNNNNNNNNNNNNNNNNNNNNNNNNNNNNNNNNNNNNNNNNNNNNNNNNNNNNNNNNNNNNNNNNNNNNNNNNNNNNNNNNNNNNNNNNNNNNNNNNNNNNNNNNNNNNNNNNNNNNNNNNNNNNNNNNNNNNNNNNNNNNNNNNNNNNNNNNNNNNNNNNNNNNNNNNNNNNNNNNNNNNNNNNNNNNNNNNNNNNNNNNNNNNNNNNNNNNNNNNNNNNNNNNNNNNNNNNNNNNNNNNNNNNNNNNNNNNNNNNNNNNNNNNNNNNNNNNNNNNNNNNNNNNNNNNNNNNNNNNNNNNNNNNNNNNNNNNNNNNNNNNNNNNNNNNNNNNNNNNNNNNNNNNNNNNNNNNNNNNNNNNNNNNNNNNNNNNNNNNNNNNNNNNNNNNNNNNNNNNNNNNNNNNNNNNNNNNNNNNNNNNNNNNNNNNNNNNNNNNNNNNNNNNNNNNNNNNNNNNNNNNNNNNNNNNNNNNNNNNNNNNNNNNNNNNNNNNNNNNNNNNNNNNNNNNNNNNNNNNNNNNNNNNNNNNNNNNNNNNNNNNNNNNNNNNNNNNNNNNNNNNNNNNNNNNNNNNNNNNNNNNNNNNNNNNNNNNNNNNNNNNNNNNNNNNNNNNNNNNNNNNNNNNNNNNNNNNNNNNNNNNNNNNNNNNNNNNNNNNNNNNNNNNNNNNNNNNNNNNNNNNNNNNNNNNNNNNNNNNNNNNNNNNNNNNNNNNNNNNNNNNNNNNNNNNNNNNNNNNNNNNNNNNNNNNNNNNNNNNNNNNNNNNNNNNNNNNNNNNNNNNNNNNNNNNNNNNNNNNNNNNNNNNNNNNNNNNNNNNNNNNNNNNNNNNNNNNNNNNNNNNNNNNNNNNNNNNNNNNNNNNNNNNNNNNNNNNNNNNNNNNNNNNNNNNNNNNNNNNNNNNNNNNNNNNNNNNNNNNNNNNNNNNNNNNNNNNNNNNNNNNNNNNNNNNNNNNNNNNNNNNNNNNNNNNNNNNNNNNNNNNNNNNNNNNNNNNNNNNNNNNNNNNNNNNNNNNNNNNNNNNNNNNNNNNNNNNNNNNNNNNNNNNNNNNNCACCAGGAAGUUGAAUAAAUCUCAUAGGAGUUGGGAUGAAGAAGUUAUCUCACUUUCUAAUCAGGUGAUUCCAGUUUCCCAGUUUGGGAAUAGGACAGCUUCUUCGUCAAUCCAAUCAAACCAGGAUGAAUCACUUUGUAAGAAGCUUGAUUUUGAUACAUAAAAUGGUGGGGAAACACCAGGAAGUUGAAUAAAUCUCAUAGGAGUUGGGAUGAAGAAGUUAUCCCACUUUCUAAUCAGGUGAUUCCAGUUUCCUAGUUUGGGAAUAGGACAGCUUCUUUGUCGUUCCAAUCAAACCAGGAUGAAUCACUUUGUAAGAAGCUUGAUUUGGAUACAUAAAGUGUUGGGGAAACACCAGGAAG